CAGACUCGAACCCGAGACUUGCUGCCGCGGAAACCUUGGCUUUGCCACCUAGGCCAUGACCUGUCAUGAUGUUCAUUAAGAGAUGCCACAUAUUUAACUAUCAGUUGAGCGUUUGAAUUCAAUAGUUUGAAAAUAUUUGAGAUUUUUUGCACGGUAUGAGUGUUUCUCGGGGGUGGGGGGUAUACUCGAUAUCGAAACAACAUUAUUAUUAUUAUUUCAAACGAAAGUAAUGUUGGUUUUACAUGAACAUUGUUUCUGGCAGAAAAUAGAUUAUUAACUAUCAAAGUCAUAUGGCCCUAGCAAGACAUUGUUGAGGUCACCCAGCUUGAUCAGCUCCUUGUUUUCGUUGAUAAGUGGCUGGCUAUCCAUGUGAAGAUCAUGCCAGCAGUCGCUGACAUGGUCAGUCGCCUUCUCCACACACUCGGGCAGUUCAAAGGACCACAGGCAGUCUGCGUCGCCCCUGGGGACAUGGAAGUCCCUGAGCAUGGCGUCGCAGAGAUCGAGGGUGCCGAUAGUGACAUCGUAGUCCACCUGGCAAUACCUGAGGCCGAGCGCCUCCUCCGUACCUUUCUUGUCUUUCUGGAGUGCUUCCUUCACCUUGCCGCCGGCAGCUGCCACACGAAUCUUGAGGAUGUCGACGGCGACAAGGGACAGGUCACGGAGGUCCUUGGCAUGGGAGCUCCUUUUGUCCUAUUCGGCGCCUUAUGCGCCCGCACAGCUCGCUGGCGCACACGGCCGCACCUUGUUGGGCCGGCCCAUGAAGGAGGAUCGCAGUGAGGUCGAAAAUUGCAAAAAAGUGUGUUUCCUGGAUUUCAACGAACUCAGGUCGCUUACUUCUUCUCUGAGUUUAGCUAACCACUAGAGCCAUAGGACAUACGUGACAUAAAACAGCGACAACAGUAUAAGAACAGCAUGGCCACGUUAUUUAUUUGCAUAAUACCAUCUCUUAUAUCACUUUGAUUUUUGAAUUGUUCUGAAAAAUAUCCUGAAUUUGAAAACACUCGUCAUUUUUGAAGAACAGUUCACAAACUAAAAAACGUUCAUCGAUUUUGAAAAAAGUUCGUGAAAAAAUGAAAAAAUUUCAUCGAUUUUGAAAAAAGACCAUCGAAUUUGAAAAAAGAUCAUCAAAUUGGGAAAAAUUUCAACGAAUUUGAAAAAUAGUUCAUCAGAUUUUAAAAAAGAUCAUCAAAGUUGAAUAAGAGUUCAUCAAAUUAAAAGAAAGUUCAUCAAAUUUGAAAACAUUUCAUAGAAGUUGAACUUUUUUUCUAUAUCUCACAAAAUGGAUGAACUUUUGCUUCCGAUUCGGUGAACUUUUUUCAAAUUCUAUUAAAUGUUUUCAAAUUUGAUGAACUUUUUUAAUUUGAUGAACUCUUAUUCAACUUUGAUGAACUUUUUUAAAAUCUGAUGAACUUUUUUUCAAAUUCGUUGAAGUUUUUCCCAAUUUGAUGAACUUUUCUCAAAUUCAAUGGUCUUUUUUCAAAAUCUAUGAUUUUUUUUCAUUUUUCACGAACUUUUUUCAAAAUUGAUGAACGUUUUUGAGUUUGUGAACUUUUCUUCAAAAACGACGAGUGUUUUCAAAUUCAGGAUAUUUUCAGAAUAAUUCAAAAAUCGAAGUGAUAUAACAGAUGGUAUUAUGCAAAUAAAUAACGUAGCCAUGCUAUUCUUAUACUGUUGUCGCUGUUUUAUGUCACGUAUGUCCUAUGGCUCUAGUGGUUAGCUAAACUCAGAGAAGAAGUAAGCGACCUGAGUUCGACGAAAUCCAGGAAACGCACUUUUUUGCUAUUUUCGACCUCGCUGCGAUCCUCCUUCAUGGGCCGGCCCAACAAGGUGCGGCCGUGUGCGCCAGCGAGCUGUUCAGGCGCAUAAGGCGCUGAAGAGGAGCUCUCGCUAAAAGCGCCGUAUAGGAAGAGAGCUCCUAUUUGCCGCGCGCGGGCGGCAAAUGGUCGAGCCUUCGCUGAAGGAAGAGCGCAUGGGCCGGCCCAUUAGGAGGAAACGAGCUCACAAGUAAAAAAAGAAACAAAAUUCAUGUGCCCGCAAGAGAGUUAGAACUCAGGACCUCCUUAUCUAGAGCUAGCGUUGCUAACCGAUGGAACCAGUGAACUCUUAUAAUAAUUCGAGGCGCGAAAGUUUAAGUACCAUACACUGUUGAAUCUUUUUUUUAAAGUACACAUAACAUAUUAUAACAUCCGUUGAACAUUUUGCGGUACCAGUUGAACAUUUUAUUAAAGUAAGUUGAGUAUUUGAAAUAAUAUACGAUGAACAUUUUUAAAAGAAAAUAUGAAUAUACACGCUUAACAAUUUUCGGACACGUACUGAACAUUUGUGAAAAUACGUCGAACAAUUUAGGAAUACACAUUGAACAUUGUGUAAUAUACACUGAACAAAAUUAAGAAACAUAGUGAACAUUUGUAUACUCGUUGAAAAACCAAAAAAAAAGAAAAAAUUGCAAAAUAUAUUUACUGAACAUUUUUAUAUCCAUUGAACAUUUUAAAUAAUGCUUGAUGAACAUUUUUGAAACAAUAUGAAUAUGUGUGUGUUGAACAAUUUUUUAAUACACAUUCAACAUUUAGUAAAAAAACAUUGAACAGUUUUAUAAUACAUUGAUGAACAUUUUCGUAAUACACGAUGAACAUGUUUAUACACAAAGGUGAACAAUUUUCAUAAUAUACAAUGAACAUUUUUCUUAAUACAAUGAAAUUUCUUGUAAUACACGGUGAACAUUUUAUAUAAUACGCAAAUAAAAAGAAGAAAACAGAAAAAACCAGACAGAAAAAUAAAAAAUAAUGAAACAGAAAAGGAACCAAAACAGAAAAAUAAAAAAAAACGAAACAAAACAACAGAAAGCCGGAUAAAACAGUGAAAAACUGGAGGCAAAAAACCGCAGAAGAAAUUAAAAAAAACUGCAGAAGCAGCGAAGGAAACGACAGCGAACAGCGAAGGAAAACAGCACAGGAAAUCGUACGUGGGCCGGCCCAAGUGGGGACUCGCUUCAGCGAAGGUGCAGCUCCUGGACACUCACGAGCGUCAUAUAGGAUCCACCGUAUAGGAAUUCCCUGAAAUGUCGCAGGUUAGCACAGGCGAUCGGUCAGAUUGGGCCGGCCUGUUUAAGCGGUUUCAGCGUUUCCGGUUUUGGGAACCUUCUAGAAGGUACCUGAACCGGAUUUUUUCUGUUCUGUUAAUAUUUUCCUGUUUUUUUUCUUUUCUCUCUGUGUUUCCUUUCCUUUACUUAUUUUUUUGUUUCUUUCUAUCCUUUUUCUUUUCUUUUCAUUUUCAUUUUUCUUUCUUAUAUUUCUUUUUCUUUUCCAAAAAAUGUUCAUAUUUUACAAAUAUUUCAUUUUUACGCAAAAUUUUCUGGUUUUCAAAUUAUGUUCAUAAAUUCCAAAAUUUGUUCACUUUGUUGCAAAAAAUGUUCGGUAAUUCAAAAAAUGUUCACCUUUUAACGUUUCGUUCACAAAACAAAAUUUCUUUGGUUUCAAAAAAAUUCCCAUUUUUAAAAAAUUUCUUGGAAAUUUUAAAACAUGUUCACAUGUUAAAAGUUUGUUCAUAAAUGAAAAAAUGUUUGGGAAUUUCAAAAACAAAUCCUGUUAUGAAAUUUUGUUCACAAAUAUAAAAAAAUUCUAGAACACCAAAAUUUAUUCCCGUUUUAGCAAAUUUGUUCAAAAAUUCAAAACAUAUUUUCAUUUUCAAAAUUUGUUCACAUAUUUAAAAAUAUUCCUGUUUCUAAUUUUGUUCAUAAAUUCAAAAAAUGUUCACAUGUUUAAUUUUUGUGCAGAAAUUCUAAAAUAUUUCGGAAUUUCAAAAUAUGCUCCUGUUUUCCAAAUUGUUUACAUAUUCUAAAAAUGCAACAGUUUUCAAAUUUUGUUCACAACUUUUAAAAAUGUUCAUCUUUUUGGAAGUUGUUCGCAAAUAAUGUUCAUAGUUUAUAAAAUAUUCUUGUAUUCAAUUUUUUGUUCUUAUUUUUUUAGUUCCCAUAUAAUGUUCGCGUUUCAAAAAGAUUUUCCUUUUAAGAAAUUACGCUUGAAAUUUUAAAACAAGUUUUAAUCAGCCUUGGAUUAUAGUUCAUAUAUACUGGGCUGCCUUCGUAUGUACUAAUCCUGUGUUACUACAAUGGCUAUGGACUAGCUUCCCUAGUGUGAGGACAACAGUUUGAUCUCUCACCCACCGCGCAUACCACAAGGAGUACAUGCUCCUAGUAGUGCUAACCCUAUAAAUGGGUUAUGAUGGUGGUUCUAUUAUACUAACACCCUUAAGACCUUAUUCUACUAACAAAACCACCUUAUUCUACUUGCGUCCCGAACUAGCGAAGACGAAAACAGAAUAAAAACCCGACCCUCCUGCCACGACCACCCACUUCCCCUGCGAGCCACCAUUCUCCCACGAGCUCCACAAACCUACACCCCUACCAUCGCGGCACCCCACACCACCACCACCUACCCCAACCCGCUGCCCACAACCACCUGCCCAGCAGCCGGCAACCAUGGGACAACCCCCGACCACCACGGCGCCCCACGCACCCACCGCCAGCCCCCUUCCACAACACAAAAUGUGCCUCUCCUUCCCCGCAAUCCUCUUCCACAACCCUUCACGAUCUCCCUCCCCAGAGCACCACCCCUGGCGACCCUGACUUCCCCCAGCUAUUUCCGGUCGCCACCACAAAUGGUCACCGUUGUAAGGUGUUGGCCUCCUUGCACGCACCAGAUCGAGCCCCCGCAUCACCCCCUCCCUACUACGCCUCCGUGCCCGGCCUCCCCACCGGUGAGCAUAGCCUCUCCAACAACUGCGGUGCAUGCUUUGCCUGCACCUUCCUUCUCGCCCUCAAGAUCAUUCUGCUUGCCUUGACCACUCCACCCGAUGGUCGUCGACAAGUCCUGCGAAGUGUUGAACCAUGCACUCCGCAUCGAGUCGUACUGCAAAACCGCGUCUGUUUACUUUUCUAGUUCAAAAUUUUAAUUUGCUGCAACACGGUUUGACAUAGAGUGCAGUUCGACUUUGGGUUUCGACAGAGUGCAGUUCUUCACCGGCGGCAUUCCUAUGUGCUGUGUAAAAUAUAGAGCAGUUCGUGUGUGUAAUUGUUCUUUUUGCAUUUUUGGCCGUGUGGUACUUGUAUGUAACUUAUGUUGGUAUAUGUUUACUCAUCUUUGAAAAUUAAACAGUAUGCUCUUUAUUCAUUUCAGUUCAUGACACGGUUCACUCCAUUUUGUUUCGCUGUGCACUCGAUCGAUGCAAUGCAUUAUGCUCGACCCGACAGUCCUGAUGCGUUUAUAAAAAAUGGUUUGAAAAGACAAAAAUAUACAAAAUGGAUAAUGCAAACCACUAGCAUUGACCAUGUAAUCGAGACACGUUUACAGAAAAAGAUAGAAAAACUAUUGCAGUUCACCUCGGGUAGAAAAAUGCAAAAAAGUUCAUAGAAUAUAGUAAACUUCGUCCCACGUAAAAUUUGAAAAAUAAAACAAAAAAGGAACUAAAAAAUAUGUAGAAAAGAUAUUUAAAAACAAAAAAGUGAAAUACAAAAUGAUAUAGCAAAAAAUGUUACAGUUCACUCGCUCUCGUUCAUGAAGUCCAGAUAAGUUAAUAAAGAAUGUUAUUAAAAAGAAAAAGUAACGCAGUUCACAAAGCCUCAACCAUUCAAUCGAGACAAGUUUACAUAAGAAGAUAUAGGAAAGAAAAAAGAACUCAUGCAGUUCGGUUUCAAUUUGUGUUGCGGUUCACUUUUGCCGGAUGUGAACUGUACGCCCCAUGCAAUACCUUGUAUUUCAAAAAUCAAUCAACUGCAUAGCAGAUGCAAUGCAAUUUGAAGUCAGAUGCAGUACACAUGGUGUACGACCGAAAAUAUACAAAAAUGCAAUUCGAGAUCGUCGUUUUUCUAAUAUUACUUUUAAACUGUAGCAACCUAGGAAGAGUAUAUCUAUAAGAAAAAGUUACAUGAAAAUUUUGCCUCUAGUCGAUAUCUUUCCAACGGUGUAUCAUUUGCAUCAUUCUAAUAGGCGGUUCAUUUUUUUGCGAAACAAUGCUUGCUGGUAAUCAAUGUGCAGUGCACCGUGUUUGAAAUUCAUUUAUUACCUUAAGGAAUGUCAAAAAGGGGACUACAUCGAAAAUUUUCACCUAUUCCAUAGCUUUCCAACGGCACCAGACUCGUUUCGACAAACAGUUGAAAAAAUUAUAGUGAAAACAGUAUAGAAAAAUACCGCAUGCAGUUCCUUCUGUCGACAUUGCAGUGUUGUUUCCCGUCUGAUGCCGCUCACUUCGCCAAUUUUGGGUCCACGAAUAAACAGAGUGUCCGUGUUUCCGUCAAUUCGAAACUGCUCUAAAACUGUAAGGAACUAGAGAGAGUGUUCUAUAAGAAAAAGUUGUGCCUCGAUGAUAUUUUCCCAGUAGCGUAUUAUUUGCAUCAUUUCGACGAGCGGUUUGUAAAAAAAUGCUCACAACCACUCAUUUAACUACCGUGGUAGAAGAACAAUGCAGAAUAUGUUGGGUAUAUGACGACACGCGAUGGUGCAGGUGACCCAAUGCCAGGGUGAAAUAAAUGGAACUAGAGAUGUCGGACGGUGGCUAAGCUGCCAUGACCAUCGAGGAGUUUUGUAGGAGAAUGCCUCUCGGGAUGGUGUGCGCGCGUGCGGCCAUGUCGGGUUGAAGCCCCCGCGCCUGCUGGACACGGGGGCGUCGGUGACGGAACCGUAGUCCAAGAUUUCCACAGAGUCAUCAGGGAUGGCACCAGGAACGUUUGAUGGAGGUUGACAUGAUGGAUAUUUACAGCGGGAGAGAGAGAAAACUAAGGGGGCAGUGCUCGGCGACGACAUGGAGGGUUUGUAAUGGAGGUGGGAAGCGGAGGAUGGACAUAACAACCCUUGUAAGCGACAACCCUGACCGGCAAGAAACACGAAGGGUAAGAUUAAAUUAGUAAACUCAAACGGGUCAAAGAAAGUAGUCGAACGAUGGUAAAUAUUGGUCCAUUUUCACCUAGGAACACAAUAUCAGAUACGGGUCAUUUUCAGACUGGUGUAUGAUAAGUAUCAUGUGGAUCCCCAAAAUGAUUAUCAUGAACGCAACCGAAGGGCCUGGUCGGUGAUAAUGCUCAACACUGACAAUUGGUCAGUGGCCGGGUCGAUGAUUAUGUGUCAGUGCUACGCGGAUCUUUAGUGGUCACUAUAAUAAUUUUUAUAUGAUCAUAUGGUCAUAGUUUAGUAUUGAAAUGUUUAAGUAUAUGAAGUUCACCCCAGAACCUACAAGUACACAAAUAGCAGGGCCGAGCCCAUAGGUGUGCGGAUGGUGCGGCCCGCCAGGGCCCAUCAAUUUUGGUGGACCCAAAUUUUUAUAUAGGCCUACGUAUAUUUCUUCAUGGGCGCUGAGAGUGCAGCCUAUGUGCCAGCGCAGGGCCUCCAGCUCCAAGGGACACCUUAUUUUGAAAACAACAGUAUAGCCCAGUACGCAGAAAUAGGCCCAUUCGAGGCACCAACCUUGUUAGCCCUGAGGUGGGCAUCUGAAUCACCGGGACCUCCUAUGUGUCGCUUACUGCGGCAAGGAGGCGCAGUUUCGCACAGGAGACGGGUCUGUGCCGUCUGAUUCAAUCAAUCAUCGGAUGCUUUUUCAUCAAAACCUGUUUAAAAUUUUAAUUAGAAAGAUAAUUAACUACAUGUGGAUAGAUCUACUAGAUGUUGGAAGCUUGUUGAACCAAUCCAUAUAUAUAUAUAUUUAAAAACAUGUUAAAACUAGAGUUAAGGUUUAAAAGAUGUGAAUAUUUUUUGAAGUAUUUAAAUCUGUCUCUAAGCAGCAUUUCAAAAUGGUUAAUGACUAAACAAACUUCAUAGUCAAAUUCUACAUAUUUUUCUAAUCAAUUUUUAUAUAUAACAUGUUAAAAUUGGAUUUACGGUUUAAAAGAUAUGAACAUUUAAAAAAACAUUUGAAUCUACAAAAAAAAGUAUAUUCUCUAGACGGAUGGCGGGUUUAUUAACCAAAACCUCACAGGAUUUUCUGCAAAAUCAAAAUGUUUUAUAUUCUUACUUAAAAUAGGACCGCAGGUUGAUUAACUGAAACCUAAGGGGGGUUUCUACAAAACGCAAAACAUUUUUCUAUCACACUUAAACGGGGCCACGGGUUGAUUUUGGGGAAGUGCGAGGUUUUUUUUGGCAAAAAGCGCGACGGACGGGCAGAGACAAUCCUCUCUUUAAUAGUAAGUAGGUAUAGAUAUAGAUGUACACUCAUAGACAAUUCUGGUGUACAAUCAAGAUACGGAGAAAUUCUUCGAUUAUGUUAAAAAAAGUGUGAGCAAGCAAACAAUGAAGUACAUAACCUAUUUGAGCAGUGUUUGAGCAAGAUAACUGAGAAGUUGUUCGCCCAUUAGAACGAAGUUCAGUAAAGUGACCAAGAAGUUUACAAUUUCGACAAUGGUUGUUUCCCCUUAGUGAGGACAGAAAAGUUAUUACAAGUUCAAAAUUCGAAUGACUGAAAACCAAGCACUGAUGAACGAAAAACGGGUGCAGCCAAAUUAUUUGGGAAGUGAAGAGAGAAAUUCAUUGGGAAUGAAAGGAAGUGCCCAGUGCUUUUGGCCUGAAACUGACAAAAUAAACCUCACAAAUUUCCGUCAGACCAACAGUUGAGCAGCUGAUCUUUAGAGCAACACACGGCAAAUCAACAAGUUUUAAUUCAGGAACAUAACCACCACUCUAUAUUUAUUUAGAGAACACAUGUUGGGGCUUGAUGACAUGGUGCUGGAGAUCCAAGGCGUCCUCCUCUUCCCACCCCACCCCUGGCCCUCCAGUUGCACUCCCACUGCCCCCCCUUAGGUUGAGUGAGUGGAGGCUGGCUCCCACACUCCCUUCGAUGCGUGCUCAUGGAGGAGCUGCACGAUAGCUGUUUUAUAGACAGCUUUGUAAUCAACAUUUUUGCAUAUGCAUAUAUCACAAGCGAAAGUGAAAAUAAAAUUGAUGACACGGUAACAUUAUUUUUAUUCCAAGUGAAGGUAAAUAGAUGUUACAACAAAACCAUUUCAUAUAAAAAACAAAUUAUGAAUCAUUGACCCUAUAUGGUGCUAGCAAGGCAAAAGUUAAGUGUGACCGACAUGCCCACCGCAAAGUUUUCAUCCAACAACUUUUUCGCCUCCAUAGCAAGAAGGCCCAACCAACAGUCGAUGAAAGGUUUGUCCACUCUCUCCACACAGGCAGGCAGCUCAGAAGACAGCAACCCAUCAUUGGCUCCGCCCUUGCGACCAUGGUACUCCUUUAUCAUUGUGUCACAUAUGUUGAGUAUGCUCACCAUUCGAUCGUAGUCCACCAUGCAGUAACUGAGGGCACGCAUUGUAGCCGUGCCAUUCUUGGUGUCUUGCAGCAUUUGUUUGACAUUACCAUUCGCCGCAACAACUUGGCCCUUGAGUAUGUCGAUGGCGAUGUGUAUCAAGCUAUGGAGAUCCUUAGCCUCGGCACUCCGAUUGUCCAACAUGAGGGUCGACACGCAAAACUCCUGCGUGAUUGGGUUGGGGUCGUAUAUUUUGUUUUUCAUUGAGGCAUUCUUGCAUGCUUCCACCAUGAAGUUGGUUACCUUGGGUUUGGCCCCACCAGAGGCACUAGAUUCGGCAGCGAUGGUAGUGGAAAGGAGCAUGAUAGCGAUGGCAGAGAAGAAGAUGGAGGUCGCCGACAUUGUUGCCUUUGCUAUUAGGCUAGUUGGAAGUCUUGAAAUGUAUUGAAGCUGGAGAAGGUGGAGAUAAAUGGAUAUAGAAGGAUUUGUAGGGAAGAAAUGGAUUGAUUAAGUGAUGUGCAUGGGUUGAGAUUUUUAUAUAGAAAGCAGUGGCGGUUUAGAAAUGCAGUGUGCUGCUUAGCCAUAGAUAUAGUAUGAAUUAAUAGUACUAGCUAUACAAAUAUGUUGAUCUCAUUUUAGAUCUUCCUGUAUUAAUGCCCUCUAUAUACAGAAAUAUAUAAUAGAUGCUUAUUUUAUAUCUUCCCAUAUUAACACACAUAAAGUUCCCAUAUGUUCAUUAUUGUGAUAAAUCUUGAUUACGGAUUUCCGAAUAGUAAAGAGUCCACAGAAGGUGUGCACACAGAUAUGUGGGUCUUCAUUUUGGAUCUCCUCACAUUAAUACUUCUUACUUAUAUAUUGGAGCACACAGAUAUGUGGGUGUUCAUUUUGGACCUCCUCACAUUAAUACUUCUUAUUAGCAUUGGUGUGUUGUAAAUAUACUUUUGUAUAACUGAUUUUCUAUCUCUGUGCUACAUUUAGAAUCGAUCAAAUUGACCCUUAGCAAUUCAAUGGUUGCAAAAUGUUUUCUUUUUUCUUUUUUGCAACUUGCAAGGUGCACAUCUCUAGACCCAAACUUACAAAUAAUUCCUCAAGGUGCAACCAUUUAGUUUUAAACUUCAAAUGUUAAUAAUAAAAAUUAGAGGGAAUUAAAGUUUCCUAAAAUGCGUGUGAUUUGUUGCUUUUAGCUGAAAAAAUUUAGGAGUUGUUGAAUUGUUUGAAAAUGUGGAUCAAAUACAACUUUGGGAAUUAUAAGCACUCUAACCGUCAUUUGGGGAUCUAUUAUAUAAUUAAAACAUAAGUAAAAGAAGACACCACGUUCUUCCACAUAAUCCAAAAUAAUAUACAUCGUUGAUCAAUAAUACGUACGGCUGAGUUUUAAAGAUAUUAUGUUACAUGAAAAAAGUUAUAUGUUAUGCAUAUUGAACUGACACGUACAAGGUGUGCUAAAAAAAGUUGGAAAGAAUAAAGGAAAAUCAUGUCUGUUCGUAUGCCUUCCAAUUGAAACCUCAUCACGGAAACACAUGAUCCAUAUUUGUUAUUACCUCACGAGACUUUGCAACUAAAAGAAAGAAAGAGAUCAUGAGCGACUAGGAUUCCUUUAGCCUGCACGAUGUGACAAAACAAAAGACCCACACGUAAACACAUCUGACAUCUAUACUGAUGUAAAGCCUCCGCCUGAAGGAGCUAGACUAAUAUAUAUUAAAAAAAAAGUCCCAGACCCAGCUCACCGAUGCACGUUCUUUAGAAAAAACAGAAGGCAAUAUAUGCAUGGGCGUAUGUUGGACUAAAACACGAUUAUAUAUGACAUGCCUCCUGGACGAGCCGAGGAUCAAAGUCACGAUGCGCACGCAUCUUAACUCCCACUGAUAUUAAGCCGACCAAAACGAAGGCACAACAUACAUUCAUAUGCGCCUGCAAUGCUCGGGGGAAUAUCUAUUUAUAUGUUAUAUGAAAACGAUUUUCAAAGAUAAGGAAGUAGGGUUGAAAUUUAAAAAAAAAACUCAAAGUCCUCACAAUUCCAGGGUUUGUCAUAUGAUGAGUUGUGGCCGGAAACAUGUAUACGCAAAUAAAACUAUUUUAAUGUAUCAGCAGCAUGCAUGUGUACUUAGACAAGCUCUCUCGCAUAUAUCAGUGGCACACCAAUCACUGAAGAAUAUUGCAUCAUUGAAAAUAAUGAUUCAAGUUAUGAACAUGUGUCAACCACUAAUCAGAUAAGAGUAAUGCAACUAGCACCAAUUAGUAAUCAGUAGUGUACUCAAUACAAUCACUUUUCUUAGAAAUUACAAAAAAAUAGUGAUUAUUAAACAAAGAACGUGCAUAUAUAUUGACUAUUCGUCACCCUGGGUGAGAAAAUAGUUAUUCCACCCCCCUCUAUUUUACAACCAAUGCACUGUAAUUUUACGUCCCGUAAGUUUUGUUUUAUUUCUGACGUAAAAAGAGACCGUAAGAAAAUAUAUCAUCGCCAUAAAAAAUAUUUUAUGUUAUGUAAAAUUACAAAUGUAAAAAUAUAGUGUAAAAUAUACAUAAACUCCAAAUUUUCUUGUCUUAUGACUUAUACUUUUAUUUUCUUAUAUCAAAUUUUACAUAGUGAAUUAAUAGGAAUGUAACUAUUUGAAUUCCAAAUGUAAUUUAAUUAUGAAGUGAUCGUAAGAUUACCUCGGGUGAAGAAUAACUUAUGAAUAGCAUCACUAUGUGUGUGUGUGUCUAAAUAUAUACAUGUAUAUAUACACACACAUGUAUACACACACACACACACACACACACACACAUAUAUAUAUAUAAUACCAUAUAAAUCACUAUGAAAUAUAUUUCCAGAUCUAUAUUGGUACUCUCUUUAUUUUGUACAUACGAUAUGAAUUUCUAAAUUCAGUCAAAUUUGAAAAUUGUCCGUCCUAUGAUAAAAUAAAUAGGACGUGCAUUUUGGGAUGUAGGAAGUGCAUGUCGCGAAAGAGAAAACUAGCAUUUCCUAGGCCAUUAGAUGCUCAAUAUUUGCAUUGAUACAUUCUAUUUAUAUAAUUAUUUAUUUAAGCGAUCAGUUUUUGGGUGUUGAAUAUCAGGGAAGUGAGGAAGUUUUCAUGCUUUUUGUUAAUACACACAUUAUCUCGGAUGGAGAACCAACAAAAAUCACUUAAUGGGAGCAAUAUGUGUGCAUAUAAGCAUACAGAGGUCAUUGCUUAAAUGGAAAUCUGCAAUACAGGGAAGUGAGCAAUGCAGUGAGUUAAACGGUCACAAAGUGUACAUACGAGCAACAAAUUUUCCUAAUUAAUUUUAAAAUUGUGAAUGAAAAUAUUGGCUAGAAUUAUUAUUACUGGGAUAGGAGGGUGAACAAGGGAAAAAAAUGAAAGAAUAGCAUAUAAUUUCAAUGUCGUGUCACAGGCCUCGAGGUCUUCCUUCCGUUGAGUCACUCAUAAAUGUCCUUAGCCACAACCAUAUAGAAACUUAUAAAAAGUAUACUGAAUAUAGUACAAUCUUUUCUGUAGACAUACCAAUGGACAAUAGCAAUGUGGUUCUGAAAUUAAAUCCAAUAAUAAUUAGUUGCGGGUCUACAUAACAGAAAAAACAAAUAUUACAAUAUAUAGUUAAUCUAGCCGCGCAAAUGCGCGGGUCACCCUGCUAGUCAUUUAUAAAACCCAAAAGUUGAGCCACAUACAUAUGAGUAACCUUGUGUGAAUUAUCUUGGGAUGGAAAUAAAAUUCUGUAAGCCCCAAAUAUUGGAAACCCUAAAAUCAUCUAAAGUUUAAAUGGAACCAAAAUGGAAAAUGGGAACUAAAGUAAAUCCCUCAAAAUGAGCUGACAAACUAAAUAUUUGAAAUGGGCAGGAAAAUAAAAAUUCCAUAUAACUCGAAUAACAAAAUAGGUCCAAUUUGGAAAAUGAGCAUAAAACAAAUGAGAAUUAAUACAUAGGUCUUAAUAUUUUAUUAUGGAAGGAAAAUUUACUUCCAUAAAACCUAAAUAAAUGUUUAAACUUUUGGUAGUACACCAAAAUGAAAUUGGAGCAGGUUUGCUUUUUGAAACCGAUUUGAAAUUCAUACAGAAACAAAAAGAGAAACAAAAUUUAAAACGACUAUGGCCAGCCAGCCAGGCGAGCUAGCCCAGCAGGCCCAAUCCAACAGCAGCGUGCACCCCAGCAACCCAGCUGUCGAAGUGGUACAUGCGAUUUUAUCUGAGUAGCCGGAUCAGCAUUAGACGGCCAACGCGCCCACAGACCUCUUUCUUCUCUCUCUCUCUCUCUCUCUCUCUCUCUCUCUGUGUGUGUGUGUGUGUGUGUGUGUGUCAUUGUUAGGUGGGACCGCCCAUGUCAUCAUCAACCUCAUGCUGAGGUCUCCGUGCCUACGAUCACGUCACGACCCGAGCGCAUGUCGCAUGUUCCCAAUGCCCCUGUCCACCCCCAGCCAUGUGGGCCUUGGCCAUGCGCUAUAAGAUCCUCUCCCAGCCUCGAGAAUGUAUCCUGUACACCGACCUAUCUGGUGCAUCAGAUGCUCCGAUAGCUCGUGGGCCACUAGAUGAGGAAGGAAGGGACCUGAUCCAUCUACAAGGGAGCCUACUGGUACAUUUGCAAAACAGACCCUGAGGUGCAGCUAAAUCUAGCAAAUCAACUCCCCCAACCCAGUUCGUCUCUCUCCCUUCGCCUUCAUGUACCACCGGACCAGGCUGAGCUCUCUCUCUCUCUCUCUCUCUCUCUCUCUCUCUCUCUGGCUUCUGGUGUUGAAGCACCAGCAUCCAGGAAAGAAAUCAUAUGGACCACCGGUAGCUCGAUGCGAUUAAUUGUGUCUACAUAGCGGCGUAGUGUUGUACCUCCGGAGAUAUCGACGCUACAGUUGAAUAGGAGCUGGCCAUCAUCCUUUACAACACGUGAUUCGAGGUAUGAGGAUGAAUUUGAUUCUUCUAUUUUCCAUGUGCAUUAAUAUUUAGUUCUUCCGGUCAUCAGUUUUCCCAAUUCGUUUGCAACUAGUGGCAUUUGGGAAUAUGAAUGCCUGGAAGGGGAAUUGCUAAAUCUAGGUGCACAUAGAUUUUUGGAUUCGGUUUUUCUUAUGUGUUACUGUUGUUUGUAGCCAACCUACUAUAUGUCGUGCUCAUGUGACAAUUUUCCCAAUUAGUGCAACCUUAUUACUAUGUGUACUGAGCACCAUUCAGUCUUUUCCUCUAUGUUUUGUUGCUCUGUACUUUAGCAUCAUCAUCUUAAAUUUUCAAGGUAAGUGAGAACAUGCUCAUUCCCAAUAUAUAUUUUUCAUAGUAGCAUCAGGAAUUCUUGCUCUGUACUAUAGCAAGUUCAUAAAAAAUUCUUGCGCCAUACUUCAGCAAAUGGAAACAUCUGCAGUAGUUCAAGAAUCUUGCGCGUAUUUGCUUCUUCCUUUAGGCAUGUGUCAAGUUCAUAUUCUAUUCUUAAAGUUCCAUCAACAAUGUUUCCCCAAUUCAUUGAAUCAAUUGUUGGGAGACAUUGUGACUGAUGUUGUUUCAGUUGACUUAAAUGCAUGAUGUUGUUGAUUGAAAAUAGGAAUUGUGUGACUUUUGAGGAUGGAUGAGCUACAAGUAUACCUAUAUAAUAUUAUCCUCUAUCACAAUAGUCUGAAUGUAAACGAAACAAAUGACGCGCUCGCUGUUCUGAUUCUUGGUUUGUAUAAAUUGAAAUAGGAGGUGCACUUACGAAGUCCAAUUUGAAAUUUGUGAAAGCAGUACUAGUUGUUUCUGAUCUAGAUUUUAUUUUGCCGCAAUCCUCCAAAAGUAACACCUUUGAUAUGUGCUGCUUGCCUGCUUGUUAGUAGGGUAUUCAUCUUGUUCCCUGCAGCUCCAGAAAUAACUAACUAUCGUGUGAUAAGGACCAUAAAAAGCUUAUUUUAAUCAUGAAUCAACAAGGAUUUUAGGAGUAGGAAGUAAGAACCAAGAUCUAUGAAACAUAAUUUUAUGUUUUUUACAAAUACUACUGAAAGUUUCAGCAAUACAGGCAUUAAUCUUGUCCAAUAUAUUGUUUUGUUUAUAUUUUUGUAUGUACAUCUGAAACCUGAUGGUGUUCAAGUUUUUCGGCUCCUCUCUGAAUGUUCAACUACAUGCUCAUCUGUAGAAAAAAUCCUGUUGUUCAAGCUAGUGUUCAAGUUGAAUAUUUUCCUCCUUCUGCAAGUUGUGGUAUCUCUUUCAGCUGAUCGGAAGAGCUGCUUGUGGUGGUUUACUUAUCAUACUAUGAAUGCUUCAAUACACAGUGGGACCUGUUCAAAUAGAUGUAUGUGUGGAGGAACAAUUGCAGAUACAGGAGUUCAACAAUGUUGAUGUAGAGCAAGAACACUUCUGUUUUAAUUAGAAGGAUUUUUUGGAACAAAAUUUUCCUUGUGAAAUUUAGUUACCCUUAUGGACACACUCAAUUCUGAACCCUUGUAUAUAUAGGAGUAAUAUAAUGUACAGAAAACUACAUCAUGGUGUUUUUUUAUCCCUGGUUAACAGUGGGCAUCCUUUUUAUGUGAAAACUUUCCAUUUGACAGAAAGUCGUGCUCAAAAUUUUCUCUAUAGCACAACUCAUAUGUAUGCAACCACCAAGGAUUUUAAUUUUGGAAACAAAAUAUUUCAGACCUCACUGAAAUAUGCGAAAUUUCGGAAAUUUUGCACAUUUCAUAAAUUUUUUCGGAUUUCAAAUAUCCUUAAUUUUAAUAAAUUUUAACAAAAUUUAGAUAUACUUUUAAAUCAGCUUGAAUGUGCAUCGAAAUUUCAGGGUUAGAUUUAGAAUAUUCCACUGAAAUUGUGUUCAGAUUUUUAACCCUGGCAACCACAUCGUUUUCUGCAGUCAACUUUGUAGUGGCAGUGUCCAUCUGUGUCGUUGACUUAUGAUGUUAUUGCAUUCUGACAUUUAAAAAGCUCCCCAAAGUUGGAUUAGUUUAUAUGAAUCAAUUAAGAAACUCAAAGGUAUUUUCGUGGAACUCCUAGAAACAUAUACAAAAGUGUCAAUGUUGUUGUCCUUGGUUUCCAUGAGAUUUGCAUAGUGCAUUCAUACAUGGUAGAUUAGUUAGUUCUAAGCUCUCGUCAACAUGAUUUAUCUUCCUAACAUGUCGAGUGGUGGAGGAAAUGUAGAUAAGCGAGCGAUGGGAACAAAAAUUAUCUAACUCAAUCUCGUUGGUACUGUCGUAAAGAACUGGCCAACGAAGAGUGAUGAGUUGGCUUUAGCAGAAUGCAUCACUGAUUUCAUAUAACUACAAGGGUUGUUCUGCAAAUGUGCCAGCAGGCUCCCUCAUACAGUCGUAGCUGGAUCAGGUCCCUUUCUUCUGCAUCUAGUGGCCAACGAGCUAUUGGAGCAUUCGGUGCACCAUAUUGCUCGGUGCACAUGAUACAUUCUCUCCUUUUCAAACCUGCAGUCCAUUCGAGGCACUAAACAAUGUAGUGCGCACUAAAUUCUCACCCUAGUUAUCAAUGUAGUGACAUAUUAUCCUCAUGUAGCUUUGAGAACCAUUUUGCCUCACAUUCCCCUCUAAACGAUUUCGUGAAUAUUUAGAAGUAUCUGAAAUGACAACACUUUACCCUACNNNNNNNNNNNNNNNNNNNNNNNNNNNNNNNNNNNNNNNNNNNNNNNNNNNNNNNNNNNNNNNNNNNNNNNNNNNNNNNNNNNNNNNNNNNNNNNNNNNNNNNNNNNNNNNNNNNNNNNNNNNNNNNNNNNNNNNNNNNNNNNNNNNNNNNNNNNNNNNNNNNNNNNNNNNNNNNNNNNNNNNNNNNNNNNNNNNNNNNNNNNNNNNNNNNNNNNNNNNNNNNNNNNNNNNNNNNNNNNNNNNNNNNNNNNNNNNNNNNNNNNNNNNNNNNNNNNNNNNNNNNNNNNNNNNNNNNNNNNNNNNNNNNNNNNNNNNNNNNNNNNNNNNNNNNUACCCUACUAUGUUUGGAAGGAAAUAAUCCGUGAAAAGUACUUACUUGUAGGUUUUGGGGUGAACAAUGUCCAUUUAAAGAUUUCCAAAAUAAAUUAACACCAUCUGCAUCCAUAAAAUUUUAUUACAGUAGAAAUUUUAAUUGCCAAACUAAGAAAUCUUUUUUUAGAUGGCAAACAAAAAAAUACUUUGACAGCAUGUUUUAGUUCACACAUCAUAGAGGCAAGUUCAUGCGUACACCGAAAAAAAUAUUGUAACAUAUUUCAUUAUUUGCGCCCAUCUCGGAUAAGAUUAAUAUAUAUAUGCACAAUAAUAAUGCACAUUUAUUAACCUGAUUUGUUCCAUAAAUAAAUCACAUAUUACUUUAUUUAUACCUUUAAUGGAUGAUCUUUAUUUUAUUGGAAAUCGAUCCAUGCAGAAGACACACAGUAGUACUACAAUUGUAAGUGAAUCCAACCUGCACAUAUAUGCGUACAGUGGGCAUUAAUCAAUAGCAUUUACGUGACCAAGAUAAUUAGAUUUAUGCACCAUACCGAUGCACUUAUAUAUAAAUCUCAACCCACCUGCACCUCCAACUAUCUCCUCCUUCCUCUCUAUUUUGUCCAAAUUAUAUAUUCUCGCUGCCGUACACCUAUCGCUUCCAUGGCCAUCUCAACCGUCGUCGUCAUGCUCCUUUCUUCUGCCAUGGCUGCCCACGCCAGCGGUGGUGGGAAGAAGGACAACACAAGCCUCGUGAUGAAGGCGUGCAAGAACAUCUCAGGCCAGCCAUUCAAGGUGGGCUUCCUGCCAGAAUUCUGCGCAUCGACGCUCCUAUCAGACAACCGGAGUGCCGAGGCGAAGGACUGCCGCGGCCUUGCACUCAUCAUUGUCGACAUACUCAAGGUGCAUGCAGCCGCCAUGGUAGGCAAGGUGGACAACAUGCUUCGCGAAGGCGGCCGAAUCGCCACGAAGGAUAAGAUAGCAGCUCGUGCCCUCAGGUUGUGUCGGGCGGACUAUGGCGGCAUGGUGAACACGCUCCAAAUCUGCCACAAUAUCAUUCAGGACUUCGGCCGAAAAGGUAAGCAUGGGCCGACACCCUCGGAGCUACCAGAGUGCGUUGAGAAGAUGACCAACAGCAUCAAGGACUGCACUCACGAGGUCUGUAGCACGUCGGUGGCGGGGACGAUGGCAAAUGAAAUACUAGAGAAGCUGGCAAUCGUCAGCAAAGCCUUAAUAAAUCUCUUCUUGGCCGACAAGAAGGAUGGUAACUAGGAGCUAUCUAUAAUAGCAUCGUGUGAUGUGAGGAUGGAAUUUAACAAAUACUACUCACAAAAAAGUUAAUAAAUAACAAAACAGUAAGUAAGACGUAGCGAGCUAUGCCUCUACACCUCCCACCCAUCCGAUCCGGGCAUGCACGGCCUUGGUUACCUCUGUCAUCCAUCCCUGCCCCAUUUUUACCGAGAGUCAGCUACCAGUCGUAAACUAGGCCACUACUUUGCAGAACAACUUCAGGGAUUUCCUGUGAAGCGGGCCAACCACACUCUGGGCCAGGGUAACUACGUCCGCAAAUCUCAGCCCUCCUGUUUUUCUCCAUCAAUGAUGUAUCUUCUCCCCUCGCCGCGGGGGAAGGCACAUCCCUCCCCCUCGCCAAUGAUGAUCAUCAGCAAGGGAGGUAACCGGAAUACUCUAGUUGUGAGACUGAUUUUAAGGUAGGCACUCUUUCUCCGCUUCUCAACUACAUCAAUCUCCUCCUGAAGUCCUCUUCCAGAUUUCACAACCACAACUCUAGUUGUCUCAACUUGCUUAUAAUUAUGAUUUGGUAACAAGUUGCCCUCGUGUUUGCUUAAGUUUCCCAAACAAUUUGUUCAACAUACAUGUUAUUUACACAACUUUGAUCCUUUUGUAGUACCUUUAGUUGGAGAAAGGUGCAUCCAACCACCUAUCCUACAUAUGAUCCAUUCAGUCUGUUGAACCCCUAAUGAAAAGGGAAACCUUUCCACCUGGCGCGCACUCGCCGGUCGCUCACUCACGUAGCGCUAUGCGUUUGGACCAACCCACUGCUUAAUUGUUGCCUUAUCUAUUCACACGCAAGGGGCGCUCUCCUCCACCCAUUUUUUCUCUCCCCAAAAAAUGCAUAUCUCUCUUUCUACCGUCGUCGCUGGCGCGGCACUCAGCUCUCUUCCCCCAGUUGUGCGGCCUGCAACUACAUCCACAUGAGGGAGGUUGCGAAUCGAGGGGGACUGCAGUGCAUGACGCCCGCGGGGUGUUUUUGCGGCGACAGAGGGGCAACGAGAGGUGGAAGAAGCAACAGAAUAAAAAGAUAGGAGAUCCUAUGGCUGAGUGUCAUGAGAUCCAGCAGCUAGCGCGCGACCGGCCCAAAUUUGGCCCUGCGCACCGGCGCCUAGCGUUGGCCUAAUGAGAAACUGGAUAUGACCAUGAAAAGGGUCGUGGUCAUGGCACAGUAACAGACUUCCUCUUUUUCAGUUAUUUCCAUCAUAAAAUGAAUUAUUAAUGUAUCGUUAUUUAUCCCGUAGAUUGAUGACAUCAUUUUAGUUUCUUUUCCUUUGUGCUGACAUGUGGGACCCACUGAUCUUAGCGAGAUACACUAAGCAAUCCAUUUGUUGGAAGUGGGUUUCACGCCACGAAUAUAUGGCCACUUCAGUGCAUUUUACGUCUAUGAAUCGGAUUAUCUUCGUGCUUGCACACUUUUGCCAAGUUGUAGAAUCAGGUCGGUGUAUUUUUCAAGUUCAGGCAUGAACGUCGUUGGAAGUUUAAGCACCGUUAUUGAUAUGACCUCUUAGAAGAAUAGGCCCACAACUUAAGACCCCAAAAAACAAAUACACAACUUAAGCUUACAAAUUAGUCCGAUUCAAUACAUUACCGGGCACUUAGACUCCUAAUUGCCUUUUCCAUUUCUCUUCUCGACUCAACCAGAGAACACUUUGCCGGCUAACAAGGCAAGGAACAAGGCGGCGGCGGCGGCACAAUUAACCACCCUACCCUGUCGCUUGUACACUUGCUCGCGUUCUAUUUGUCUUUGCGCCGAUGCUCCAAGAUGUUCCCUCAUCUCUCUCCAGUCAAGAGCAUCCUUCUUGGCUUCCCUUAUAUGGUACGCCAUGCGGCCCUCCCGGGAUUGAGGAAACUGAGGAUCCCUACUCUUCCUCGCUUGCUUUUUGUGCCCUAGGUUGAGUUUACAAGGAUCUUUGUAGGACUUCCUGACGGAAGAGCUGGAGCUGAAAAGUCGAGGACCCCCAUGGCUGGCCCGUCGGCGCGCCGGACGAGGAAGCACCACUCCUCCUCGAGCGCUCACGGCACAGAUAUGGGGGCUGAAGAUAGGAGGCGUGGAAGCCGCUGAUAGAGCACCGCGGGGGAGCGGAUCGCUGAUGCCAUCUCUAUAUCCCUCUCUCUCGACGGCGCUGGCGCGAGUUUGUUCCACCUUCCACCUCUUGGAUUUCGCGACGGGGAUUUGGGGUCUUGGCAGCUACUUCAGGCUGGACGUACCGAGCAGGCUUUUCGGCCCGCUCAUGGCCCGUUCGGUCUUGGCCCGCUCGGUCCUGGCUCGCUAUAAAAAUUGAACGGUCCAGUCUGUCAAAUUGGGUCCGAAAAAAUGUCGGUCCGGUCCGGUCUUUCACCGGGCCGACCGAGCGGACCGAGAAAACACAGCGACAGCCGCCGCCGUUCCUCAUCGUCGCGGCCACCGGCAGCCCUCGGGUAACCACCGUGUCUUCAAGCUUGCCUUUCUCUUCCAUUCUCAUCUCCCCGUUUCGUCCUAGCAAUCUAGCAUCUUGCCGUCGCUGUCGUGUGUGCACCGCAGCCGCUCUCGAGUUCUCGACCAUGGCAUCGACCACAACUGUUGCACCAAUUCAUGCCAUGGCGGCGGUAUUUUUUGCCAUGGCAGCACUUUUCGCCGUGGAGACAGACAAAUGCCAUGGCAGCCACUUCAGCAGAGCAAGCACGCACGUAGGCCACCAAUCAGAUCGUGGGAGAAAUGCUCCACCCUGAUUCUUGGAUCGUGGGAGUAAUGGUCUGCCGUGACUUUCACGUCUAACAGACUAGUAAACAUGCACGUGCACGCACGUCUAUAACCACCAAUAACAUAGAAAAAUGUGAAACACUUCUAGCGAUCGACCCAACGCCAUGCGCCCGAGCCUGCACGUCCUCUCUUUUACCAUCUUGCAUCUUCCUUUUUUUUCCUUUCUCCAGGAAAAACAUCAUCUACACACACUUCCUUAUCUUCUUCUCCCUAGCAUCGGAUUGCCAAUCAACCAGCAGCUGCAGCUCCGCGGUGCAUGCUCAUGCCCAGGUCUCCCACUCCAUCCGCCACCACGCCCAUGCCCAGCUGCUGAUAGGCCCUGUAAUCAUUUGGUCCACCCCUGCCGCUCUAAUUUUCUAGAUCCUCCUAUACCCACUUCUCAUAUUCUUCCGAGUGAUUUGAACCAGCAGAAUUUAGCAUAUACUUUCAAGAUAAAACUGAUACUGAGCUAUGUUACAUGAAGAUGCCAUUCAUUCUCCAUUAGUGUUAAAUGCACAGCUCCUAGCAGUCCACAUUCUACAUGUGAAAUGUGUUACAACUUACAAGCAUCUGCAGAUUUUCUUAUUGUUUCAGAUAGCACUAUGUUGACUGAAGUGCUCAACAUGACGCAGUUAAAUGGUUGGAUAAUCAUGGCAAUUCUUCUUUGGGCUGGUCCUUAAGUUUAGAGAAUAGAAGAUCUACUACCAAAUUAGCCUAAAACAGCACAAUUCUAGGUCCAGCGCCUUGGCCUAUACAGCCAGAUAUGAUGUUUGUUCCUUAAACUAUGCAUACAAGUGUGCAAUAUCUCAUGUCUAAGGAAUGAAUGAAAUUUCUGACUUCCUAGAGAGGGUCAUGGACUUCAGAAGAGCUCAUGAAAAUUCCAGAAAAAAAAGAGCUAAUCGAAAUUCCAGCAAAAGAAAAAGUUAAUCAAAAUUGGGCGACACAUAUGUAUACAAUCUCCGCAUUUCCAAUUUUCUGUCAAUUCGAGCAGAAAACUGGGAGAUUGUUUCCUAGAGCAUGUGCAACAGCCACAACCCAAGGGCCAAGAUAGUACAAAACUGAAAUGAAAAUAGAAGAGUGUAUUACAGGUAUGGAAAAGCAGGAAAGCCUCAUACUCAUUCGCGACAUAGUUGGUUCAGAAUGUCUGCUCACAAGCUAUUUACCUAUUUUGCCAUCGGACAAUUAAAAAGAAUACUUGUAUUGCAGUGAGCUUUUUAGUUUGCAUCAGUCAAAUCACACAUUACCAGUACCAGCUCUAUAUUCCGCAUAUUGCAGCAAUAACUUGUAAGAUAUGUUAGAAAUAGGAGCACUGAGGUACACCCAUCUAAAUAAUAGCUCACCAUCGUUACAAUUCAAAUACAGUAAAUUUAACACCAAAUAUAAUUUGCUUUGUAUAAGAUUCAACCUGAAAAACCCAAGCCCAUAUUUACGACCAAAUAAAGUAAAUGCCCACUUUAUUCCCGUUGUGUAUCAUUUAAUAGCUUAUUACCACUCUUCCAGAAUGUAAGGGUAAUUAGGCUAUUUUGGGAACAUUAAGAUAUGCGAUCGAAUGGUACAGAGUCAUAUAUCAUUACACUUAGGAGUGAAAUACCUAACUUAUAUGCUUGAGAGAUUAUCUUACGUUUCAUGACAUUACCUAAUAUUUACACCGCUCAUCAGAACGGAAUCCUCGGCAAGGAACAAGCAACCCAUUAAGUUCACGGAUAGCACCCAUCACUUUCUCCUGUCAUUUGUUAGAUUAAUUAAAAUUUCAAACUUGCAGCCACAGUCAUAGGAUAAAUGUAAGAUAAACUCUUCUAAACUGGAUAUGCAUAAAGUGAGCGUAAUAGAACCUGUUCUUGGCAACUGACCUACUUCCACCAUAUGACAUUGUAGUCUCGAUCCUACUAUCUAGAUCCCAUUGGAACAACUGCAAAGGGAGGAAAAACCAUUAAAAAACCUGCUAUAACCAGAACCAAGCAAGAAUACUAAAUCCAGUCCAAUUUUAUCCUGCUAGGGUGUGGACCUUCUACAACUUCGAGUGGCGCUGCACUCCCAAGUCUUUUUAUGAGCGUAUACCAGCAUGCAUUAGCUGUGUGGAAAUCAUUCAGAUGAGCUGGAAGACAAAUUGAAGAAAAUACAAAAAGAAAAUCAUAUUAGUAUCGCUGCAAGCAAGACUAAUUGAAGUUUCAAUUGAUAUGAUUUUACACAUAUAUUAUUCAGCCCAUAUACCAGCAUCAGACAUAAUAUACCAGCAUGUAUUAGCUGUGUUGAAUUGUCAGUCCAAUUCAUAUACUGACAACUAAGGAACGAAAGAUCAAUCAUGUCCGUUCAGGUACUCAAAAUUAUACACUUGAUGGAAUUGCAUGCAUGUGAUCUCAAAACACUAAGAAUCGAUGAUUUGUGUAGCCAACAGCAGGAUAAUCACGCCACGCAAGUUCAGACUGACCUGACCACAGCUGCGCCCCUGUGCGCGAGGUGAGAACUGCUUCGUCAGCGUCAGAGCUCGCAAAGCGACGACCUGCAUACCACAACUGCCUCAUUUUCACGUCACAACUCACAGGACGACGGACUACACACCACGGCUAGCCUCAUUUUCACGACACAACAAGCAGUGGGCGUGCUCCUGUACUGAGACAAUUCAGAAACAUGGGAGACGGAGGAUGGCUAGGAAAUCUCACCAGGCUGGGGCUCCCGAGCGAGGAGGAACGAGUAGAUCGUGGUGUGGCCGUGAUUGUGGUGAGACGAACUCGGCGGCGAGCAGUUCUCUCAGCCGCCACAACGAAUGAUGCCGACGACAGUGGCGGCCAUUCGGCGCCAACGACCCUACGAGGGAGGGGGAAGACCGCGGCGCGGUGGCACUCGAGCGAGGGAGGCGGCGACUGCGAGAAAAGCAAUUCUCCCAUGCAUGGGAGGUCCCGUGCAUGGCUCAAUCGUUGGAUUUAGAUGGAGACUUGGAUGCAUGCACACCUCUUCUAGUUGUAUUUCACCCAUUAAUGAACCCACCCUCUCUCAUGCAGCACACUACACCCAUGCUUUUUCAUGUGAUUCCAAAGUUUGAAAUCAUUUUAUCUUAUGAACUGAAAUCCCGAUUUCACUUUCGUUUGCAUAUUUAUGUUCCUGGUGACGGGGACUUUUAAACAAGAUCAUCUUCAAUAUAUUUUUCAUAAUUUUUGAAACGUGAUAAAACCUUACGAAAGAUGGUGAAAUUCCAUGAAACAUGGUGUAAAAUUCUAUGAUAUAGUCUGCGGAACUCAUUUCAUGUCAAUUUGUUUCUAUUAAGAACAUCUUAUACAGUUUUGUAAUUUGAUGGGCUUUAUAUUCUAUAGUUUCACCAAGUUACAAAUUUAUUUAAAAAAAUUAUGGAAUAUAUCCAUGAUCGAUCUUGUUUAAAAGAUCUCCUUUUCAGGACCCCAAAUAUGCAAACAAAUCAGAAAUAAAAAAUUCAUUCAAAAGCUACAUGGUUUUAAAAUUUCAGACUCUGCCUUAAAAUGUAUGAGUAAAUAUGAGAAGGGGAAGAAUCAGAUAGGGUCAUAGGGUGGAGUAACUACAAGUCAUAGCCUCAUAGGUAGUACGGUGGGACACUAGCAUGCACGGGAGAUCCCGUGCAUGGUAGAAAAACCAUUCUCGCGGCGACUGCAGAACCCUAGCGCGUCGAUGCCUCCGGGCGUCCUUGCAGGGCAGGCCACCGAGGGUGCCGAUGGGGAAAGGUGAAGGUAGAAAGAGGGUCAUUCUUGCAGGUGAAAGGAGGGGGGCACACGAGGAGGGGAAUGGAGGAGCGGCGGCUCAAGGAGAGGGGCGGCGCGAGGUUGCUCCGGAUCUGUCCUUCUCGAUCUGGGGAGAAAGAAGGGUCGGCGAGGCUCAAUUCGGUUGUUGCAGGCGGGGCCGCGGGGACUUGGCAGACCACGGCGUGGCAGAACAUUUGAUCUCAGCCGUUUAUUCGAUUGGCAGACCUUUGAUGAAAUAUGGACAGUUGGAUGUGUUUAACUUGAUUUGAUUGGAGGGUCCUGGUUACUCCGCGUACAGUUUGUUGUGUGGCUUUAAGCGAAUUCAUGUUUGCUCUUUUAAUAGUAGUAUAGAUAUAGAUAUAGAUAUAGAUAUAGAUUAGGCAAGUACAGUAUUGCUUUGGAAGGCUCUAAAUUUAGCGACGGCUUCCUAUAAUCACGCGUCAUUGAUCCCUUCGUUUCUUUUAUUGAGUCAAAAAUCAUGGCGUCAUUUGACGACCUUCUCCACGUUAGAUUUGAUCCGCUAAUCAGGGCAAGAUCCGCACAGCGAAAAUCAUGGGCUCAUUCACGCGCAACAUUACUUGCAUGCAACAGAAAAAUUGCCAAGAAAUACAUCGUGUGCUGGUUCAUGGCUACAUCAAAAAUCAAUCAAACAACAGCCGCACCGCCCAGCGCACUUCCACUGCACCUGCACGUCACCCACCUCGCCGCUGCACCCAUGGACGUCGCCGCCGGUGGUUGUUGGCCGGUCCGCUCGGUCCGGCCCGGGCUUUGCCGCCGAUGGUCCGGUCCCUAAAAACAGGACCGCCAGGUUGGUCGGUCCGGUCUGGUCCGAUCAGGACCGCCGGCGACCGGUCCAAACGCUGGCUCGGUCAGGGACCAGACCGGCCCAAACCGUGUCCACCCUGACAGCUACUAGUGUUAAAAAACGUCUUACAUUAUUAGACGACGGGAGUAUAUAUAACGGGCCGUGCUACGAAUCAGCCAGAUGAUUUCAUAGAGAAAUCAUCCACCUGCCUAGCCGUCGAAUCAGCGCUGUGGAGCCGUUCGAUGCAGCAACUCCACGACAGCAGACCAUCUUCGACGCAACGAGGUGCCAGCUCCUCUGCAGCACGGCGCGGUGCGACCAUAGCUCCAAUGGAGCGUCAACGACAUCCGGUGAAGCUGCAUUGUAGCCCCGGCGAAGCUCGAACACAGCACCAAACGGCGUCCGGCGAAGCUCCAUUGCAGCGCCAGCUAUGCUUCCAGCGGCCCGGCGUUGCUCCAUUGCAACACCGGCGGCGCUCCCAACAGCUUCAACGCAACAUCAUCAGAGUUUCAGCACCUCCGUCGGCCAGUCGCCGGGGUCACCGUCGCAGCACCAGCAACUUCCAUUGCAACUCUGGGGGUGCUCCCAAUAGCUUCAGUGAGAAUUCCCUCGGACGGGAAUCUCCCCGCAACACCGGCCGCUCCCGCGGCGUCGACGAUGCUGCAUCGGUAUGCUCUGCAGCACUAGGCGCUCACCGGCAGCACCGUCGCGCUUCUCAACACCGGCAGCAGCAAGGCCGCGCCAGGAACUGCAGGUCGACGCGGGGUGCUGCAGCCUGCAGGUCGCAGACGAGGGCUGAUGGUGGAGAUGUGGGGCAGCUUGCUCUGACGAGGGUAAUCGCGAAGUGGUGGAUGGAUGUUGCGUCGAGACGGAGGUAGGAGAGGAUGGAGAGAAAGGGGAUCUUGCUCCAUCGCUGGUAGGGGAAAAUGGAACGAGCCACUCGCUAGGGAUAAGGCAAAAAAUCCUAUACGACCGGGUUGUACGGACCCGGUCGUGAGACCCACUCCAGCGCUCGCCAACUGUCCGUCCGAAUCAUAACGCAACAGGCGUCUCCUGUUUCCAAAUCACACUCCUUAUCUCCUCCAACGCCCCCAAAAUCCAGCCGCUGGUCAUGCCAUUCUCGCCACCGCCUGACGGCACGGCGCACCCGCACCACUUUCCCCUGGGAGCCUCGCCGCCAACAGUGCCGGGCGCGGUGGUGCCUCACGCCCCCGCCACGUUCCCCCUUCCCUGUUUGCAAAUCCAGAUUGAAUCUCGAACCAUUUAUUCUGCAGGAUAUGCUUGUACUGAAAUUAUUAUCUUAUACAUUGACAGAGCAUGGAAGAACCAAAAGGAAGUUGAUCAGGAGGAUGGCAAGAGGAAGACAAGAACCAAAUUAAAGUUUGUUGCUGUGCAUGUCUGUAUCGAUCAAGAUUCAGUGCUAUGUAGAAAUGUCCCUGAGAUUUGUUUCACUCAACGAGACCAAACAAUCAGGAACACAAGUAGGAUAGUUGAUGCUUUUUUCAUUUUUCUUGUGAUAAAAAGGAAUCUUCAUCUGCCAAGAAUACGACCUACAAGCAUGUAUGCCUAAUUGCCUAUGUGCUGAUUUAACAAGCUCACAUACAUGUCCAUUUCUGAAAAUAGUUUACCCAUCCUCAAACAUAUAAUUUGUGUGUUUUUGCUUUCCAUUAUAUUGAGAAAAACAUAAGUUUCAUUGGACCUUUUAUUCAUUCAGGAGCUCUAAAUGAUACCGUUGUAUUGGCAACAUAUUCAGUCAUUUCGGAUGAACUUUCACAGUCAUUCUGGACUGUCCAUGCCAAAUUGUUGGUGUGUGCUGUAAAAAACUGAAAAAAGGCAGUUCAUGUUUAUUUUUCUUCUGAAUUUUGUUCCCUAUAAGAUCUGGCCUACUGUAUACUCUUGGGAUAAAUGAGUGGUGACAUUUGUUGUUGUCCACUAUUUUCUUUGCAAUUUCCCUGAUAUGUUGUCAACAAUUUGGCGUGAACAUUCCAGGUUUGUUAGAGACAAAUUCAUAAGGUUUGACGAUGCAUGUUGGCCAAUUGUCAGGUAACAAAGCAAGCAUAUAGCUACAGAACAAAAGGAUAUAGUCAUUUUUAUGUUCCAACAAGUAAAUGGUAGCGACAGAGUGGCACCCAUCCAACAAAGGAUUUGAGGCAGAUCAAUACCCUUAUGCCAAUAUACAUGGUUCAGUUCUGAACCAUGCACACAAUCUAAAUACAGACAUCAGCAGUUCACUUUUUUGUUACUGAAAACCCUCAGGGCCUCACCUAUCCAUGAUGGUUGAAAGAAGUAGUAGAGAAAGAUACCACACAAGCUGUUACAAAAAAGUACAGAGAUCCAAAGGUACGGCAUCACCUAAUCGAAUUUACAGUGACAAGUACCACCACAAAACUUAUUGCUGGACCUAUACAUCACACAUUGAUCUUCACAUCCAUGCCCUUGACAAUAAAGGGGAUAAAUCGCGUGAUGGAUGGGCUGGAGUUUGUUGCCAUGGCCGAUUACGCAGCGUCGAUCACCAGGAUGCCCGAUGGAUAGCCGUUGUGCCAGCUCCGAGGUGUCGUGCGGCCGCCGUCCACAAGACCUCAUGCAGUUCGUCGCCAUGGCUGACUUCGCGCAUGACGGAGCAGAUGGAUGGGUAGCCCGUGGUGGUACAUCGAGGACGACGUGCCGCUACACUGCCGCCGCCGUGUCGUCAGGCGGUGGCGAGAAUGGCAUGACCAGCGGCUGGAUUUUGGGAGCGUUGGAGGAGAUAAGGAAGGUGAUUUGAAAACAGGAGACGCAUGUUGCGUUAUGAUUCGGACGGACAGUUGGCGAGCUCUGGAGUGGGUCUCACGACCGGGUCCGUACAACCCGGUCGUAUAGGAUUUGAUAAGAGACUGUGCGGGUGCGUGACGUGGCCCACAAGGACGCGUGGCGGCCGGGCGACGGGCUGGAAUUGGACGGCAGGACAGGCUCUCCUCAGAUUUGGAAAAGAGACACUAGCUAGGGACGGUUUCAUCUCAUCAAAAAUAAAACUUUAGAGACGGUUUGAGCCUAGCACGUAGGUAGAACCACACGAGUCACGAACUCACGAUUCACGUCACGUAGUACAUGUAACCGGGCUGGAAUCGGACUCGGGCCACCAUCUAUAUGUACACGGCGUACUCCCAAGGAACCGGACAGCUAAGAAGCUGCGUCCAUGGCGACGGCGAGGAGGCGCAAGGCGAAGGCCGCCAGGGCAACGGCCGCGGAAGCCAUGAAGAAAGCCACGAAGAAUGCUUAUGCGGCCAUGGUAAUACCCGAUGAGGAGUCCCGGCAAGCCAAAGCGGAGGCCAAGGAGGCCACCACGACGGCCGCGGCGAAGGCCGAGGAGUCCAUGCAAGCCGCCAGGACCGCCAUGGCGAAAGCUGAAGAAACCGCCAUCAUAGCGAACGUGAAGGCCGAGGAAGCCAAGAAGGCAACAGAAGCCUACCGCGAGGUGUGCCGGCAGGAGGACGCCGAAGCGGAGUGGGCGCAGUGCGAGGAGGAGCUCUUCGCCGCCCAGUUCCGACGCUACUGGAACAAGCUCGUCGCCCGCCCCGGCGUCACCUUCCAUGAAACCAGUAAGAUAUAUAUAUAUAUAUCAGCAUACAUACAUAUAUUUGACCAGUUAAUUGCUCGUUUGUUUUCAUACUUAAUUGAUGCACAACAUCCGAUGAACGCAGCGUCGAUCCCCGCCAUGCGGUACACGCACCCCGCUCCCCAAGAUAGCCCCAAGGCCAUGGCUACCCUGCAGAUCACCUCUGUGAAGGUUGCCGCAAUCGAUGAUUGCUUGCGAUGGCCGCUGCAGGUGUAUGGCAUCAUCGCGGCACGAGAUGUAUUGGAUCACAAGCGCAACAUUCUUUUCCACCGCCGGAGGGGUGACUGUCAAAUCAUCACUCAAGAGGUUCGUACAUACAUACAUUCUAGAACAAUUGGUCGCCGCGUAGUUUUAGAUUUGCUGUUUUUGGCCCCAAGUAUCAUAAUUUCAGGUUUUACCAAUCAGUUUCAUUUUUUGCUCUGCUGUUGAAGAUGCUCUUAAUAUUAAUAUUUACAUGAAUAAUUGCCAUUCCCAUGCAGGAUCCGUACCUAGCAUUGACACGGGCCCUAGUCGCGCCAUUGCCGUGUCGAGGGACCUUUCAUACAUCGAGGUCUCGCUCAAGAUGAAGGGUGCGACAAGAACUAGAUCCGAGGAUAGAGAUUUGAGCGAUCUGGUCCUGGGAUACGGGACCGGAUUAUGUCUCGCAGGCGUUUACCCCAGCAGGCUCAGCACACUUGAACUAAAAUCCAGUCACAUUAAUCGCUCCGUGGAGGCCACGGUCCGCAUCAAAAUCACCCGCAGGCCGUGGCCGGAUGGUUUCCCAGGCGUGUUCACUGCCGGCACCGUCAGCAACGAUGGCCUGGAAGUCGCCCGUCGACUCUGGCGGCGUGGUCAAGCUCCAGCGCCGCGUCGUCUCCGUCUACAUCGAGGGAAUGCUCAAGGUUUCCGUGGUGGCAUGUCCGGUUGACGAGGAACGGGGCUUCAUCCAGAGGGGCGAGGCGGUUUUCAAACCAAAGAGACAAGGCGUGAACCUCCAGGAGAUUCAGGUUGGGUCUUGUAGUAUGCAGAUCACCGUGGCUUGGUCCUGUUUCCGCUAUGAGUAGUCUAUGCUCAAGAUAAACUAUUUUUCCCAGUGGUAUUUUGUACCGGAGAGUGUUGAUAUAUACAGUCUGAUCCUGGAUCUGUAGUGCUAUAGUGUCUAGUUAAAAAAAUUGCUGAUGGUAUUUCACAGGAAACACUCUGCAAGAAGAAUAGAAGAUGUAAGAAUUUCGUAGAGAACAGUUUGGUUCCUGUGCACCAAAGAUAUGGCCUCCUUUGGUUUAUAAGAUAUAAGAAACUAAUAGAAAUAGAAAAGUCAUAGAAAAUAAGAUGACACGUAUCUCAUAUCCUAAGGAUAGAAAUAGGACAGGAGAUGUCCUUUGAUUCACAAUAUAAGAAAAAGAAAAUCCAUUGACUCUGGGCUAAUGUUUAUUCCCUAUGAAACAUGGUGCAUAAAUAGAAUUCCUUUGUAUAAUAUUCCUACAAACCGAAGGGCUUUAAAGGAUUAUUUUUUCUAUAGAAAUCACAUCCUACGGAAUUUCAAUAAGAUUCAUCCAAAUCAAAGAAGGCCUAAGAUGAGUGCAGCAAUUCGGUGCCCAGGCUCAUCUGCACCCGGUCCAAAAGAAAAUAAAAAACAAUACAAGACAAAUUCAAAAAAUUCCAAACUUUUUUCCCAUGAUAGACAAUUUAUUGCGUGAGGUUCGCUCCAAAUUUUAGCUCAUUUAGGCAUCUGAGUAGCUCUCAGCAAAAAAGACAAAUUGGAUCAAAACAGUACAUGAAUAGUAAACUGUUUUACAGAACCUGAAUUUGUUUUUUUUCUGAGAGUUGCUCAGUUGUCCAAAGGAUUUGAAAAUUAGGACGGACCUCACGCAUCAAAUUGUCUACCAUGGGAAAAAAUUUGGAAUUUUUUAAAUUUUUCUAGUAUUUGUUUUGAAUUUGUUAUUCAACACGGGUGCAGAUGAGCCCGGGCUCAGAAAAGGACUUCUCGCCUAAGAUGGGCUUUUCAUUGAACCAGGUUUUCUGGGUCGCUCUAGUGGUUUAUUUCUCAUCCUGGUCAACAUAUUUCAUGGGCAGCAUUAUGUCUCGCCCACAGCGUGUAACGCUCUCGAUGCGGCUAUAUCUCCCACGUGUCGAAGCAUGACUUAGAGGCAUAAUCGCAUUGAAAGCAAUGUCGCAAGUGAGGUAAUCUUCACACAACCCAUGUCAUACAUAAGGGAAAGAGAUACAUAGUUGGCUUACAAUCGCCACUUCACACAAUUACAUGGAUAAAGCAUUACAUCAUCCAGAUACAAUCAAGGUCCGACUACGGAACCAAAAUAAAAGAAGACUGCCCCAAAUGCUACACAGAUCCCCGAUCGACCCCAACUGGGCUCCACUACUGAUCAACUAGAAUGAACAACACAAAUGAUAAGAUCUUCAACGAGCUCCACCUUGAGCUCGGUUGCGUCACCUGUACGGUAUCAUCCGCACCUGCAAACUGGUUUUGAAAGUAUACGUGAGUCACGGGGACUCAGCAAUCUCACACCCUCGCGAUCAAGACUAUUUAAGCUUAUAGGAAGGGUAAAAGUAUGAGGUGGAGCUGCAGCAAGCGACUAGCAUAUAUGGUGGCUAACAUAUGAAAAUGAGAGCGAGAAGAGAAGGCAAAAGCACGGUCGAACAACUAUGAUCAAGAAGUGAUCCUAAAACAACCUACGUCAAACAUAACUCCAACACCGUGUUCACUUCCCGGACUCCGCCGAGAAAAGACCAUCACGGUUACACACGCGGUUGGUGCAUUUUAAUUAAGAUAAACUUUAGGUUUUCUACAACCGGACAUUAACAAAUUCCCAUCUGCCCAUAACCGCGGGCACGGCUUCCAAAAGUUCAAACCCUGCAGGGGUGUCCCAACUUAGCCCAUCACAAGCUCUCACGGUCAACGAAGGAUAUUCCUUCUCCCAAGACAAUCCGAUCAGACUCGGCAUCCCGGUUACAAGACAUCCUCGACAAUGGUAAAACAAGUCCACCAACACCGUCCGAAUGUGCCGACAAAUCCCGAUAGGAGCUGCACAUAUCUCGUUCUUAGGGCACACUCAGAUGAGCGCUCCAUACAACUAAAACCAAACCUCGAGUUUCCCCGAGGGGGCGCUGCACAGGGCUCUAGUUUGGACCAACACUCAGGGGAGCACUGGCCCGGGGGGUUAAAAUAAUGAUGACCCUCGGGAGCGCGACUCCCAAGGGAAAAGAGGCUAGGUGGCGAAUGGUAAAACCAAUAUUGGGCAUUGCUGGAGGAGUUUUAUUCAAGGCAAACUGUCAAGGGGUUCCCAUUAUAACCCAACUGUGUAAGGAACGCAAAAUCCGGGAACAUAACACCGAUAUGAUGAAAACUAGGGCGGCAAGAGUGGAACAAAACACCAGGCAUAAGAUCGAGCCUUCCACCCUUUACCAAGUAUAUAGAUGCAUUAAUUAAAUAAGAGAUAUUGUGAUAUCCCAAGAAAAUAUCCAUGUUCCAACAUGGAACAAACUCCAAUCUUCACCUACAACUAACAAUGCUAUAAGAGGGGCUGAGCAAAGCGGUAACAUAGCCAAGCAACGGUUUGCUAGGACAAGGUGGGUUAGAGGCUUGGCUUAACCAUAUGGGAGGCAUGAUAAGCAAGUGGUAGGUAUCGCAGCAUAGGCAUAGCAAAAGAGCGAGCAACUAGCAAGCAAAGAUAGAAGUGAUUUCGAGGGUAUGGUCAUCUUGCCUGAAAUCCCGCGAGGAAGAAGAACGAGUCCAUGAAAAAGACAAACGGACGUAGUCGAAUGGGUCCUCACAAACACGACGUUAUCGGAACCAACCCGAAGAAGCAACACCGGAAAGAAACACACAAGAUAGUAAACAAACCACAAAUGAACAUGGCAUGAUAUGCGGGAUGUGGUAUGCGGUGCAUAUGCAUGAUUUGGAAAGGAAUGAUAGAACCUGGCGUCAACAUGGAAAUCCAAGAGUGCCACUGGAAAGGUGAGGUAAUUUCGGUUGAAAUCGAUAUAAAGAUCACCGGAAUCGGAUGCACGGUUUGGAAAUGACAAGCAAAACAAAUAUGGCACCGGUCUGCGAUAAACAGCAAGUAGCCUACUAAAUGCAUUAAGGUAAAUAAACUACUGCACUCAAACAUGGCAACAAAAUACAUGGCAGGGAUCCACUCAUGAUGCUUGACAAAAGAUGAACACUGAGUUAUGGCUAAUUCAUCCAUUAACAGGUUCAAACAAGCAUGACAAAAGUGCAAAAGAUAACAGGUUUCAGACUUAGUGAAAUAACAACAAAUCAGAAAUUUAUCAUCAGGAAACAAUGUUUAGAGCAUGAAACUACAUGCUACAGGAACAUAUCAUGGCAAAGCAAGGCAAGGCAUGAAUCUACUCAAAGCAUAUAACAAAAGUUCUUUAGUGACCAUGAGCCAAAAGGUGUCAGAAAAUACAAUUACAAGUAUGUGAACAUAGCAAAAACAUAAAUAGAUUCAGACUUAGUGAAAAACUGAAGCAUGCAAAAUAGAUUAACAAGUAGGCAUGUUUAUGAGCUCGAUGCACUCACUAUGAGGCAUUGCAUGACAAACUAAGCAUACACCCAGCAAAUAGACGUGUCAUAGAAGCUAGACAUGGCAAGAACAACAACAUAGCAUGCACGGAUCAACUACAACAAGCUCGGCAAAAGUGCUAAACAUGUUAGCAAUCUGCCAGGAACCUUUUAUAGCAAAUGUAGAGCUCGAUUGACUCAAGCUAGGGUGCUCAAUAAUUGCAAACAAAGACAUGGAUGGAUAGAGCACAACAUUAUCUACAAAACAUCCUUACUGAUCAUCCUCAAAAGAGGUCCGGAUCACUAGGAAACAACAUGAACAUAUGGCAUAAAAACAAUAACAUGACAAGGAUUGAGUGAAAUUCUAAGUCCGUGAAAUCAGCAUCAUUGAGUAAGCUACUUUGCAUGCUUGUGCUAGUCACCACAAAGAUCACAAAAAUACAUGGCAUACACCCCUGUAAAGAUAACGUGGCAUUCUACAAAACACAUGUAGAGCUCAGGAUCAUAGCAUGCACACAUUAAUCAUGGCAAAAAUGACAAAAUGCCAUUUGCUGAAAUAGAUCUGAAAUAAUCAUCACAUAGCCCUCUUCCAACAGCAUUUCGGGCAUCAAGAUGAGCUCAAACUAAAAUGAUGCAAUGAGAUGAAAUGAUGUACACGUCGAGGCAAACAUUUUGAUAUGCUACAGGCACGAAUCGGAGUUACGAUGAGGAAGUUAUGGCAUGCCAAAUUAUGCAAAAAAAAUAGGGUACGGGGAUAAAAGUCAACCGAGAUUUCUGGAUCUCAGAUCUGGCGGGCGCGGAUCCCGAGGUUCGCCGGACGGAGCUUCGAGGAGGCGCCGGACAUGACGGGGAUCGCCGGACUUGGCGGGGAAGAAGGGCGGCGAGGUUGGCGAGGUGGCGGCGCCGGCGCGGCGAUGGUAGCGCGGUCGGAGAUGGCGGGCGGCGGCCGGAGCGNNNNNNNNNNNNNNNNNNNNNNNNNNNNNNNNNNNNNNNNNNNNNNNNNNNNNNNNNNNNNNNNNNNNNNNNNNNNNNNNNNNNNNNNNNNNNNNNNNNNNNNNNNNNNNNNNNNNNNNNNNNNNNNNNNNNNNNNNNNNNNNNNNNNNNNNNNNNNNNNNNNNNNNNNNNNNNNNNNNNNNNNNNNNNNNNNNNNNNNNNNNNNNNNNNNNNNNNNNNNNNNNNNNNNNNNNNNNNNNNNNNNNNNNNNNNNNNNNNNNNNNNNNNNNNNNNNNNNNNNNNNNNNNNNNNNNNNNNNNNNNNNNNNNNNNNNNNNNNNNNNNNNNNNNNNNNNNNNNNNNNNNNNNNNNNNNNNNNNNNNNNNNNNNNNNNNNNNNNNNNNNNNNNNNNNNNNNNNNNNNNNNNNNNNNNNNNNNNNNNNNNNNNNNNNNNNNNNNNNNNNNNNNNNNNNNNNNNNNNNNNNNAUGAGGCGGGCGGCGCGCCUCGGGCCGGGGAGGGCCCAGAUCGGGCUCCGGCGGGCCGCGCGGGCGCGGAGGAGAGAGAAGACGGCGGCGGGGUGAUGUGGCAGCCCCUGAUUGGCUGCGGCGGUGUGUCCGGCGGCGGUCGGACGUGUUCGGCCGCGCGGAGGGGAAGAGGUCUAGGUCUAUGGUGGAUUUGAUCCAGAAUUUUGAGAGGGGGUGCCUUUUUAUAGGUAGGAGGAGCUAGGAGGCUCCAAAUUGAGCACGGUUUGCGGCCACGCGAUCGUGAUUGAACGCUCUAGGUGAUGGAGGGGUUUUUGGUGGGUUUUGGGCCAGUUUGGAGAGGUGUUGGGCUACAACACACACGAGGCCUUUUUGGUCCCUCGGUUAACCGUUGGAGUAUCAAACGAAGUCUAAAUGGCACGAAACUUGACAGGCAGUCUACCGGUAGUAAACCAAGGCCGCAUGACAAGUCUCGGUCCAAUCUAAAAACGUUUAACACCCGCACACAAAAAGAGGUAGAAAGGGACACCGGAGGGCAUAGGAGCGCCGGAAUGCAAAACGGACAACGUGGAAAAUGCUCGGAUGCAUGAGAUGAACACGUAUGCAAAUGAAAUGCACAUGAUGACAUGAUAUGACAUGCAUGACACACAAGCAAUGACAAGGCAACAAUAGCGAAUAACUGGAGGACACCUGGCACAUCGGUCUCGGGGCGUUACAACACUCCACCACUACGAGAGGAUCUCGUCCCGAGAUCUUGAAUGGCACCGGAGGGAAAACGGAAGAGAAAGGAGAAGAGGUAAAACUAAGUUGCUUCUCUGACCAAUGAGUGAAACCAAAUAACCUUGAGAGGUUGAACAAAUUGAAAGAAAGAAUGCAACGGAGAUGAACGAAGUAGAAAACACUCCGUUAGAAAAGAGGAACAAGGAAGAACAAAUUCGGGUAGCACUCCUAUUGAAAAGAGAUGCAAGACUUGAUAUGAUGAAAAGACCUUGAGCAAAAGGCACAACACUCCGAAUAAAUGGAUAGGCAUGAAAAGAACAUGAUCUUUGACAAAACGAGAUGAUGGGUUGAAAAGAGCAACAUGACAAUGCCUCCGGAACAAAAGAAUAGAAGAUAGAUAAUUGAAAUAGGAGAAUGGAGAAGAAAAUGCCAACUUCUGACACAAAAGAGUUUGAAAAGGCAUCUUUAGUAUAAAGGUCGAACGGAGUUGUUGGAAACCCAACAACGAAAAGAUAGGCUUGAAGUGGGCUUAUGGAAAACAUCUCGAAAUUAUGAGGUGAAAUUCUGCCAGUAAUGGAAACGAUAGAUUGGAUUGAUAUCAAUAAGGAGAUGAGACACUUAUAUCACCGGAAGGAUAAAUGAAGAAAUUGGGUCAUAUAUAAGCACCAUAAAUAGCAACAAUCCUUAGGCAAGACUUUAGGUGAAAUAUAACCCAAGAUAACUCUGAUGACGAUAUUGAUGGAUUUAAAAUACCUCAUUCUUAACAACAUGUGAAUCAUGAAACAUGAACUCAAAUUAUCAAGAAUGACAUAAUACCUCCUCCAAUGAUACGUUAGAAAGAAUUGUACUCCGGAUAGCAAGAUGAAGAACAUUUGAGCUCCUCUGAAAAGAAUGUUGAUGAACACUUCAAAAAGGAAAUACAUCCUUGAUGAACCAACAUGUAGAGCCUCCAUGAAUAACUCCAGUAAACAAAAGGAUAACAAAAAGAUAGAGAAGUUGAAAACAGAAGGUGAAACCUCGUAAUGAUUUAGAUGUAUCUCCGUGAUGAUAUAAUUUGCGAGAGCUUGGAACUCCGGAAAAGAAAAGAUGAAACAAGUGAAACCGAGAAUUUGAUGGACCUCCAGAAUAAGGAAUUAAUCACUUGGAUGAAAACAAGAAUAAGAAUUACAUUAUGCUUAUUCUCGUAGAAAGGAUUAAGAUAGAUAUUGCGCAACUUGGGAAGGUCUUCAACGAACCACCGGUAGGAUUGGGACAACGAAUAUAAUUGAUAUGAUAACGAAGGAAAAGAAAUCUUGAAUGAACCACCGUAAGAAUUGAAAAUGAACGAAGUGAAAAAGGAUGAAUCACCGGGUAAGAAUUAGCAAGUGAAUGAAGAUGCUUGAGAGAAUUUAGAUACAAGAGAGCGAAGAGAUCAUGAACUGAUUAGAGAAUAUACUUGAAUGAUGCACAGGUAAGAUUUGGAGAAUGAUAGCUGACAGCCGGAAUGAAUAAACCGAAAUGAUGGCCUUCGGAGAAUCAAACUGUAAAGACUUCUGAAUUGCGCCGGAUGGGUAAACAGAAUUCUCACAAUCAAAAACAAUUAUGAGAGGAUGGCAGAGAAUGGGGCAAGAUUUAAAAGAAACUCUUCUUCGGUCUUCAAAUAUAGAGAAUGACGAUGAGAAACACCACCAUGAAUCGUUUAGGCACUCCGGAAGAAUCAAAAGCGAAGAGAUUGAGCCAACGAUGAAAAGAGUUAGAAAGAUCUUGGAGAAGGGCAUUUGAAUGAUGAUAACUCAUUCUUAUGUCAAACUUUGAAAUGAAUUUGAGAAUAACUCCGGGAGAAUAAGAAGAGUCAGGUAAGAUCCUGGAAAAAGACCUAUGGGUUAGGGCCCACUCAAAAGAAACACCGUUGAACGAUUUAAAAGAGAGAAUGCACCGGUUGAGUUAAAUGGCUUGAAUGAGAUAACAACCUCGAAAUAGAUUGAACUGACCUUGAAUGAAAAGACGAGCCUUCUGAGAUAUCUUGAGCACUCCGGGACAAUAGAAUAGCGAGAGGUGAAUGAUUGAGAAUUGCACCGGCAUGAGAAAGCAUUGAAAUACGGAAAAGAAUAUGAUCAACACCGAAAGAUUGAAUUGGUUCCACCGGAGAAGAAAGAGAAGGAAAAUGAUGAACUUGAGGCUCCGUUAGUAUCUUCAUGAGAAUCACCGGAUAAGAACAUUGAAGGAAAAGAAUGGAGAGACUACACAUCCAUAAGAUGGAUGCUUGAUUAAGACAUCUGACUCCUUGAGGAAAAAGGGUGGGAGGGCGGGAAAAUAAAGGCGGCUUGGGACGAAUGAAACAAACACCGUUGUGAAGAACUGAUAAUUGAUCUUGCGAAUGUUGAAGUGAUCGGAUCCACUUGAAAAGGAACACGCCGGUUGAAAAAGGAUUGACAUGAUAAUCUCGAAGAUCGAGAGGGCUUAGUAUUCGCAUAGGAGUAUGAGAACACCGCUUAGGCAAGGUAUGGAAUCAACAUUUGACUUUGAAGCAACUCGAAUACCACAAUCAAAACAAAACAAUGGAUUGGCUUGCAGAAUAAGCCGGAACAAACAUAUGAUAGAGAUUUCGUCCGAAGUUUUCGUGGUGGGGCCUACACGGGCUUGAUCGUACAGCACCAUCAUGUACAAGGCAGUGCACAUAACAUACGAAGCGUCCCCGAGUCGGCAUAGCCAAGGACUCUUUAAGACACAACGAGACCAUUGUAAAACCAAUCGUGGAUAGGCGGAUCACUAGACGUCGAACCCCAAUUUCAUAUCAUACAUCUAUCGGAAAGAUAUCCUAAGAGCUACUUGAAUUCCCACUUAUAAACUCCCGAAAUUUUCUAGUUAUGCAAUCAGGUGUUGGGGAUACAGGGGAAGCAUAAUAUCUCACCCAAAGCUAGCAAAUCCUACAUCCAGCUGUAUCCAUUCUUCAAGACAUAACCAAGAAACCUUCGGAAAUCGUUUACCUCAACCUUCGAAAAGCAUCCGUUAUACGAGUUAUGGCAAUACUCCCGAACACCCUCCCCAGUACUGGGUGGCGUCGAGGUUAUCUCACCAACAACUGCAUAAAAGAGAUUUUCGAUGUCGGCGAGCUCAGGUAUUCCAGAAUUGCAACGAUAAAAUUAUGACGACAACACCUCGGAGCUCAACUCCCCGGGACACUGCCACAACCCCUAAAUGUCAGGAGGCACCAAGAACAAUGUUCUCGUCACAAAACCAUCGGAACGAUUCCAAGAUACCCGCGUGAUCCUAAAAAAAAUUGAGUGAAACUUGAAAAGAGAAGAGUCAAAACUCUACGUCAGGAUGCCUCACCAGAGCACCGAAGGGACUGAGGAGUAAAAAUAAUUCCUAACUCUUCGAUAUAUAUAAUCCUAAAUGACUCAAAACAUUUUUCUAGACUCAACAACGCCAGCGAUUCAAUCAAGAAGGGAGGGAUCCUGAGGUCGGGGAAGGCUUUGAUACCAACUUGUAACGCCCUCGAUGCGGCUAUAUCUCCCACGUGUCGAAGCACGACUUAGAGGCAUAACCGCAUUGAAAGCAAUGUCGCAUGUGAGGUAAUCUUCACACAACCCAUAUAAUACAUAAGGGAAAGAGAUACAUAGUUGGCUUACAAUCGCCACUUCACACAUUUACAUUAAUAAAGCAUUACAUCAUCGAAAUACAAUCAAGGUCCGACUACGGAACCAAAAUAAAAGAAGACUACCCCAAAUGCUACACAGAUCCCCGAUCGACCCCAACUGGGCUCCACUACUGAUCAACUAGAACGAAACAACACAAAGGACAAGAUCUUCAACGAGCUCCUCCUUGAGCUCGGUUGCAUCACCUGUACGGUAUCAUCGGCACCUGCAAACUGGUUUUGGAAGAAUCUGUGAGUCACGAGGACUCAGCAAUCUCACACCCUCGCGAUCAAGACUAUUUAAGCUUAUAGGAAGGGUAAAAGUAUGAGGUGGAGCUGCAGCAAGCGACUAGCAUAUAUGGUGGCUAACAUAUGCAAAUGAGAGCGAGAAGCGAAGGCAAAACCACGGUUGAACAACUAUGAUCAAGAAGUGAUCCUAAAACAACCUACGUCAAACAUAACUCCAACACCGUGUUCACUUCCCGGACUCCGCCGAGAAGAGACCAUCACGGUUACACACGCGGUUGGUGCAUUUUAAUUAAGAUAAACUUUAGGUUUUCUACAACCGGACAUUAACAAAUUCCCAUCUGCCCAUAACCGCGGGCACGGCUUUCGAAAGUUCAAACCCUGCAGGGGUGUCCCAACUUAGCCCAUCACAAGCUCUCACGGCCAACGAAGGAUAUUCCUUCUCCCAAGACAAUCCGAUCAGACUCGGCAUACCGGUUACAAGACAUCCUCGACAAUGGUAAAACAAGUCCAGCAACACCGCCCGAAUGUGCCGACAAAUCCCGAUAGGAGCUGCAUAUAUCUCGUUCUCAGGGCACACUCAGAUGAGCGCUCCAUACAACUAAAACCAAACCUCAAGUUUCCUCGAGGGGGCGCUGCACAGGGCUCUAGUUUGGGCCAACACUCAGAGGAGGACUGGCCCAGGGGGUUAAAAUAAUGAUGACUCUCAGGAGCGCGACUCCCAAGGGAAAAGAUGCUAGGUGGCGAAUGGUAAAACCAAUGUUGGGCAUUGCUGGAGGAGUUUUAUUCAAGGCGAACUGUCAAGGGGUUCCCAUUAUAACCCAACCGUGUAAGGAACGCAAAAUCCGGGAACAUAACACCGAUAUGACGGAAACUAGGGCGGCAAGAGUGGAACAAAACACCAGGCAUAAGGCCGAGCCUUCCACCCUUUACCAAGUAUAUAGAUGCAUUAAUUAAAUAAGAGAUAUUGUGAUAUCCCAACAAAAUAUCCAUGUUCCAACAUGGAACAAACUCCAAUCUUCACCUGCAACUAACAACGCUAUAAGAGGGGCUGAGCAAAGCGGUAACAUAGCCAAGCCACGGUUUGCUAGGACAAGGUGGGUUAGAGGCUUGGCUUAACCAUAUGGGAGGCAUGAUAAGCAAGUGGUAGGUAUCGCAACAUAGGCAUAGCAAAAGAGCGAGCAACUAGCAAGCAAAGAUAGAAGUGAUUUCGAGGGUAUGGCCAUCUUGCCUGAAAUCCCGCAAGGAAGAAGAACGAGCCCAUGAAGAAGACAAACGGACGUAGUCGAACGGGUCCUCACAAACGCGACGUUAUCGGAACCAACCCGAAGAAGCAACACCGGAAAGAAACACACAACAUAGUAAACAAACCACACAUGAACCAUGAUAUGCGGGAUGUGGUAUGCGGUGCAUAUGCAUGAUUUGGAAAUGAAUGAUAGAACCUGGCCUCAACUUGGAAAUCCAAGAGUGUCACUGGAAAGGUGAGGUGAUUUCAGUUGAAACCGAUAUAAAGAUCACCGAAAUCGGAUGCACGGUUUGGAAAUGACAAGCAAAACAAAUAUGGCACCGGUCUGUGAUAAACAACAAGUAGCCUACUAAAUGCAUUAAGAUAAAUAAACUACUGCACUCAAACAUGGCAACAAAAUAAAUGGCAGGGAUCCACUAACAGGUUGAAAAGAUGAACACUUAGCUACGGCUAAUUCAUCCAUUAACAGGUUCAAACAAGCAUGGCAAAAGUGGAAAAGAUAUCAGGUUUCAGACUUGGUGAAAUAACAACAAAUAAGGAAUUUAUCAUCAGGAAGCAAUGUUUAGAGCAUGAAAACUACAUGCUGCAGGAACAUAUCAUGGCAAAGCAAGGCAUGGCAUUAAGCUACUCAAAGCAUAUAACAAAAGUCCCUUAGUGAUCAUGAGCCAAAAGGGGUCAGAAAAUACAAUUACAAGCAUGUGAACAUAGCAAAAAUAUAAACAGAUUCAGACUUAGUGAAAAACUGGAGCAUGCAAAACAGAUUAACAAGUAGGCAUGUUUACGAGCUCGAUGCACUCACUACGAGGAAUUGCAUGAAAAACUAAGCAUACACCCAGCAAAUAUACAUGGCAUAGAAGCUAGACAUGGCAAGAACAACAACAUAGCAUGCACGGAUCAACUACAACAAGCUCGGCAAAAGUGCUAAACAUGUUAGCAAUCUGCCAGGAACAUUUUAUUGCAAAAGUAGAGCUUGAUCUACUCAAGCUAGGUUGCUCCAUAAUUGCAAACAAAGACAUAGAUGGAUAGUGCAUAACAUUAUCUACAAAACAUCCUUACUGAUAAUCCUAAAAAGAGGCACAGAUCACUAGGAAACAACAUGAACAUAUGGCAUAAAAACAACAACAGGACAAGGACUUAGUGAAAUUCUAAGUCCCCGAAAUCAACAUCAUUGAGUAAGAUACUUUGCAUGCUUGUGCUACUCACCACAAAGAUCACAAAAAUACAUGGCAUACACCUCUGUAAAGAUAACGUGGCAUUCUACAAAACACAUGUAGAGCUCUGGAUCAUAGCAUGCACACAUUAAUCAUGGCAAAAAUGACAAAAGGCCAUUUGCUGAAACAGAUCUGAAAUAAUCAUCACAUAGCCCUCUUCCAAUAGCAUUUCGGGCAUCAAGAUGAGCUCAAAUGAAAAUGAUGCAAUGACAUGAAAUGAUGUACUCGUCGAGGCGAACAUUUUGAUAUGCUACACGCACAAAUAGGAGCUACGAUGAGGAAGUUAUGACAUGCCAAAGUAUGCAAAAAAAUUAGGGUUUGGGGAUAAAAGUCAACUGAGAUUUCUGAAUCUCAUAUCUGGCGGGCGUGGAUCCCGAGGUUCGCCGGACGGAGCUUCGAGGAGGCGCCGGACUUGAAGGGGAUCACCGGACUUGGCGGGGAAGAAGGACGGCAAGGUGGCGGCACCGGCGCGGCGAUGGCAGCGCGGUCGGAGAUGGUGGGCGGCGACCGGAGCGGAGGCUCNNNNNNNNNNNNNNNNNNNNNNNNNNNNNNNNNNNNNNNNNNNNNNNNNNNNNNNNNNNNNNNNNNNNNNNNNNNNNNNNNNNNNNNNNNNNNNNNNNNNNNNNNNNNNNNNNNNNNNNNNNNNNNNNNNNNNNNNNNNNNNNNNNNNNNNNNNNNNNNNNNNNNNNNNNNNNNNNNNNNNNNNNNNNNNNNNNNNNNNNNNNNNNNNNNNNNNNNNNNNNNNNNNNNNNNNNNNNNNNNNNNNNNNNNNNNNNNNNNNNNNNNNNNNNNNNNNNNNNNNNNNNNNNNNNNNNNNNNNNNNNNNNNNNNNNNNNNNNNNNNNNNNNNNNNNNNNNNNNNNNNNNNNNNNNNNNNNNNNNNNNNNNNNNNNNNNNNNNNNNNNNNNNNNNNNNNNNNNNNNNNNNNNNNNNNNNNNNNNNNNNNNNNNNNNNNNNNNNNNNNNNNNNNNNNNNNNNNNNNGGGCGCGAUGAGGCAGGCGGCGGGCCUCGGGCCGGGAAGGGCCCGGAUCGGGCUCAGGCGGGCCGCGCGGGCGCGGAGGAGAGAGAAGACGGCGGCGGGGUGAUGUGGCAGCCCCUGGUUGGCUGCAGCAGUGUGUCCGGCGGCGGUCGGACGUGUCCGGCCGCGCGGAGGGGAAGAGGUCUAGGUCUAGGGUGGAUUUGAUCCGGAAUUUCGAGAGUGGAUGCCUUUUUAUAGGUAGGAAGAGCUAGGAGGCGCCAAAUUGAGCACGGUUUGCGGCCACGCGAUCGUGAUUGAACGCUCUAGGUGAUGGAGGGGUUUUUGGUGGGUUUUGGGCCAAUUUGGAGAGGUGUUGGGCUGCAACACACACGAGGCAUUUUCGGUCCCUCGGUUAACCGUUGGAGUAUCAAACGAAGUCCAAAUGGCACAAAACUUGACACGCUGUCUACCGGUAGUAAACCAAGGCCGCAUGACAAGUCUCGGUCCAAUCCGAAAACGUUUAACACCCACACACGAAAGGAGGUAGAAAGGGACACCGGAGGGCAUAGGAGCGCCGGAAUGCAAAACGGACAACGGAGAAAAUGCUCGAAUGCAUGAGACGAACACGUAUGCAAAAGAAAUGCAUAUGAUGACAUGAUAUGACAUGCAUGACACGCAAGCAAUGACAAGGCAACAAUAGCGAAUAACUGAAGGACACCUGGCACAUCGGUCUCGGGGCGUUACACAGCGAGACCUAGCAUGCACUCCCAUCAGGCAUCUGUCCAAAUGGGAAGGCACUGCGUAGGAGGCCAUAGGACAGAACCUCAUUUUUUUCAUGUUUUUUGUUUUUAUGCAUUUUUAAUUUAGUUUAUACUUCCAAAUAUUAUAAAUAUACACUUUGCAUCAAACUAUCAUAAGAUGUAAAUAAAGAAUCUGAAAAUUGUGAAGUUUGUAUAGGAAAAAUAUUUCUUAUGUGUAUGAAAAACUUAUACAAAAAAUAUGCAAUGUCAAUGAAAAAAGUUGAUCAUGUAUAUAAAAACAAUCAUCAAGCAGUUGAUAAAUUUUAAUGAUAUGUUAAAAAAUGUUAAUAAACCAUUUAAAAUUGUUAGCUGUGUACAUAAAAAUUGUUUGUCAUGUAUACAAAAUNNNNNNNNNNNNNNNNNNNNNNNNNNNNNNNNNNNNNNNNNNNNNNNNNNNNNNNNNNNNNNNNNNNNNNNNNNNNNNNNNNNNNNNNNNNNNNNNNNNNNNNNNNNNNNNNNNNNNNNNNNNNNNNNNNNNNNNNNNNNNNNNNNNNNNNNNNNNNNNNNNNNNNNNNNNNNNNNNNNNNNNNNNNNNNNNNNNNNNNNNNNNNNNNNNNNNNNNNNNNNNNNNNNNNNNNNNNNNNNNNNNNNNNNNNNNNNNNNNNNNNNNNNNNNNNNNNNNNNNNNNNNNNNNNNNNNNNNNNNNNNNNNNNNNNNNNNNNNNNNNNNNNNNNNNNNNNNNNNNNNNNNNNNNNNNNNNNNNNNNNNNNNNNNNNNNNNNNNNNNNNNNNNNNNNNNNNNNNNNNNNNNNNNNNNNNNNNNNNNNNNNNNNNNNNNNNNNNNNNNNNNNNNNNNNNNNNNNNNNNNNNNNNNNNNNNNNNNNNNNNNNNNNNNNNNNNNNNNNNNNNNNNNNNNNNNNNNNNNNNNNNNNNNNNNNNNNNNNNNNNNNNNNNNNNNNNNNNNNNNNNNNNNNNNNNNNNNNNNNNNNNNNNNNNNNNNNNNNNNNNNNNNNAUAAGUUUAGCAAGAUGUUAGUCAUGUAUAUAAAAAAGUUAAAUGUGUGCAUAAAAUGUGUUUCAGAUGUAUAGAAAAAAUGUUGAAUGUGUAACGAAAAAAGUUGACAUGUGUUGAACAAGAAAUAAACUGAUUAAAACCAAUUAAACCCAAUAAAAUAGAGAAAGAAAACAAGAAAAUAAAACAAAAACCAAUUCAAAAAAAUGAAAACAGUGAAAACUAAGAAAGAAAUAAGGAAAACUGAUGAACACCAAGAAAGAAAGAAAAGGCAAAAAAAAUGGUGAAAACUGACCAAGAAAAAAGAAACAAAAGAAUAAACUACUUAAACUCAUGAAAGAAAUGAUGAAAACUGAUAAAAAAAGGAAACUAGAUAAAAGCAAUGAAGAAACAGAGAAACCCGAAAAGAAAAGAAAAACAGGAGAAAAAUGGAAGAAGCGGGCGUGUAGGGGACCUCCUAUUUAGAGCCCGACAUGCCGGUUAACCAGCCAACGCAUACUAUCUUCACAUAUUCAAAAAUUCAUGAUUUUGAAAUGAAACGUUCAAAAUCAAAAAAUGCUCAUAGUUAUAAAUAUAAAAAAUUGGUACUUUCUAUGAGAAUGGAUAAAUAGAAAUGGGUACAUCCUCUUUCUCUUUUUGGUGUACUAAAAAAAUAUUCAUGAAUUUGAACGAAUGUUUACAAAUUCAAAAAAAUGGUCACAAUUUAUUUUUAAACAAUCACAAAAUUAAAAAAAUGUUUAUGAAUUACCCAAAGAGUUCAAGAAAUGAAAAAUAAUAAUGCAUUUAAAAAUGUCAUGCAUUUCCAAAAAAAUGUUUUGUAAAACAAAUGUACAUGAAUUUCUGAAAAAUUCCCAAAUUCCAAAAGAUGAUCGUCACCUAAAAAAAUGGUCACCAAUUUCUACAAAUUUUGAAGAGUUUCAAGAACAUUCAAAAUUUCAUAGAUAUGUUCAUGAAUUCAAUAAAUGUUCAGGAUUCCUGAAAAUGUCCACAAUUUCAAAAACUAUUUUCAGGAAUUCAAAAAUGUACAUUAAAUUAUGUUAAAGAAAAAAUAAAAUUUGGAAAAAUAAAUAAAAAUAAAAAAUAAAAUAGAAAAACAUGAAGAAAAAGAACAGAAAAAUAAAUUAGAAAGGCAAGAAAGAAAAUGAAUAAAUAAGUAAAUUACCAAAGGUAAAAUACCCCCAAAAACUUGGUUUGUGAAGGUUAUAGAAACUUCCCAAAACCGGAAGCGAGCUAGUUGGGCGUUCUCAAUUUAUACAUGGUGGGAAACGGCCCGGGGUGUGGGGGGUAUGCACUAGGUCCCCAACUAGUGGCCUGAUGCUCAAAAAAAACUAGUGGCCUACGCGCGAAACAAAACUGGUCAGCGAGCACGACCGAGCGUCUCGAACGAUCAAACAGCUGGAAAGAAAGACGACAAUUGCCCGGCCCAGUAGCUGCAAGUGGAGGAAAACUAGGCGAGAAGCGAGAUUUAGUCGCAACGAUAUUUCCGCAGGCAGCUUAUAUUCUACUGGUGCCCACUGCAACGCCUAGUGGGCGUGCCCAUGAAGGCCCAGCGCAAGGAAUAUAUUACAUCGUGAAAAAACACCAAAAUAAGAAGCUGCCGCGUGGAAUCAAAAUCAUGCCUUACAUUCCUGCAGGUGUUUGGAUAACCACUGUAGCAUCCCAUUGAAAGUCACUGAGGGAAGCACUAAUUGUUUAAGAAUAACUAUAGCCGCUCAUACGUGAUUUUCUUUAAGAAAAAAUAAACAAAUUUUUACACUUCAUAGAUUUCAUAAAAAGUUCAUGAACAUGCAAAAAAGGUGCCAUAUUCAAAAAAGUUCACUAAUUAUUAAAAAAUUCAUGUAUUCAAAAAACACUUAUUUUUAAAAAGUUAGCUAAUUGGAAAAGGUUCAAUUUAAAAAAAUUAUGAAUUUUGAAAAAACAAUUGUUUAUCCAUUUUGAAAACAAAAGUUCAUCACUUUUUGUAAAAAUCCAUCAAUCUUAAAAAUUUCAUUGGUUUGAAAAAAUUUCACAAAUUCAAAAAAAGUUUGUUGAUUUAAAAAAAAGGCUCACAAAUUUCAAAUGAACUUCAUCACUUUUGAAAAAAUUCAUAGAUUUUGAAGAAAAUUUGCAUUGGUUUUGAAAAAAAAAUCACAAAUUUGAAAAGUUCACGCAUUUAAGAAAAUAAAAAUAAUUAUAAUAAAGGAAAGGAAAAAAUUAGGAAAACAGCUGCAUUUUUAUGGGUUGCAUUUUAAUAAUAAUAAAGGAAUCUAGCAUACUGUGUGUGGUGGGCGACUCGGCUAGUGCGUUCGGUGUUAAAACAGGAGCAUCGUGGUUUGAAUCACGUUGUGCACACCUUUUUGAGGAUUUAAAUGAAGAAAAAAAAGUAAAAAUGGGUCGGCACGGAGUGGAAGGGGGUGUGCGCCAGGUUGCAAAGUGAGCUGUAAGGGGCGCUCAAGGCCGUGACAAAAUAUCGCUUGUUGGUUGGCAAGUAGAAACUGGUGGCCCGCCCAUCUGUUGAUUUUACAUGAGCCCCAAAACUUCCCUAUGAAAAACCUGAGCGCCAAAACAAGCACAUAUAUCCACUCACUUUUUUCCUCCUUUCGAAUUCAAAUAGGCCGACCUGAGGAUUUAAAUGAAGAAACCAAAGAAGUAAAUAUAGGCCGGUCCAGAGUGGAAGGGGAUGUGCGCCAAGUUGCAAAAUGAACUGUAAGGGGUGCUUAAGGCACUGACAAAAUAUUGCUUGUUGGUUGGUAGGCAGAAACUGGCGGCCCGGCCCAUCCGUUCAUUUUACGUGAGCCCCAAAACUUCCCUAUAAAAAACAUGAGUGCCAGAACAAGCAAACGUAUCCACUCACUUUUUUCCCCUUUUGAAUUCGAAUGAAGUGUGGCCUAGGCGACCUAGAGAAUAGCGUGAAAUUGCUUGUCCGUCACCAGUCACCACUAUUACCAAACCGGCCUAGGAUCAUCAAAAAAUGGAAAGCAAACGUAUCCACUCACUCUUUUCUCCUUUUGAAUUCGAAUGAAGUGUGGCCUAGGCGACCUAGUGAAUAGCGCGAAAUUGCUUGUCCGUCAUCGGUCACCACUAUUACCAAACCGGCCUAGGAUCAUCAAAAAAUGGAAAGCAAACGUAUCCACUCACUUUUUNNNNNNNNNNNNNNNNNNNNNNNNNNNNNNNNNNNNNNNNNNNNNNNNNNNNNNNNNNNNNNNNNNNNNNNNNNNNNNNNNNNNNNNNNNNNNNNNNNNNNNNNNNNNNNNAGCAAAGGUAUCCACUCACUUUUUCCCCUUUUGAAUUCGAAUGAAGUGUGGCCCAGGCAACCUAGAGAAUAGCGUGAAAUUGCUUGUCCGUCACCGGUCACCACUAUUACCAAACCGGCCUAGGAUCAUCAAAAAAUGGAAAGCAAAGGUAUCCACUCACUUUUUCCCCUUUUGAAUUCGAAUGAAGUGUGGCCCAGGCGACCUAGAGAAUAGCGCGAAAUUGCUUGUCCGUCACCGGUCACCACUAUUACCAAACCGGCCUAGGAUCAUCAAAAAAUGGAAGAAAACCGGUCUGGGAAUUAUGUUCAACACACUUUCAUGUAAUUUCGUUCAUGAGUCUAGAAACUCGAAUACUGAGUCUCGUGGUCUAGCUAGGCAUGCAGUUGGUUCAGAUCAGGGACACCAUCUUUGGACGGGUCACUCUCAUGAUCCCGGUGUAAUACCAGACUAUGAGAGCUUGGCUAACUGUGACGCCCAGAUAAUUAAGCUAUAGUGAACCUCUGCUAAUGAUUUCACGUCACCUCGAUUACUGUUGCUAAUCUUGCGUUAGUUCAAAACCGGAUCGAAUUCAAAAUCACAGUCAAGCAAAACGAUAAAAGCUUUUCAAAUGAAAAAUCUAAAAUGCUCGGGGUGAGCCAAAUAAUGCAUAGGUAAUUAUGGCAGAGAAAACACAUUUUUAUAAAAUAUAUAAAUGCACUAAAGUGAUUUAAACAACAGCAAAAACAAUUAUUUAAAUGUCUUUGGUAUUUUGUCAAAUACUAAAGUAAUUUAUUUGGGGGUUAAACAUUUUGUGGCAGUGUUAUAAUUAGUAUUACUGAUUUAGGUGCAAUUCUUUUAAUUCACAUAACUAAAAAUAAAAUAAAACUACAAAGAAAAAUAAGUAAAAAGUAAAAACAAAACAAAAAAAGAACAAAGAGAGACCCCCCCCCCUUCCCUGGGCCUUUCGGCCCAAAAGGGCUACCAGGCCACCCACNNNNNNNNNNNNNNNNNNNNNNNNNNNNNNNNNNNNNNNNNNNNNNNNNNNNNNNNNNNNNNNNNNNNNNNNNNNNNNNNNNNNNNNNNNNNNNNNNNNNNNNNNNNNNNNNNNNNNNNNNNNNNNNNNNNNNNNNNNNNNNNNNNNNNNNNNNNNNNNNNNNNNNNNNNNNNNNNNNNNNNNNNNNNNNNNNNNNNNNNNNNNNNNNNNNNNNNNNNNNNNNNNNNNNNNNNNNNNNNNNNNNNNNNNNNNNNNNNNNNNNNNNNNNNNNNNNNNNNNNNNNNNNNNNNNNNNNNNNNNNNNNNNNNNNNNNNNNNNNNNNNNNNNNNNNNNNNNNNNNUCCCCUCUCCCUUCUCUCGCUGGAUUGGAUCGGGGAGGGGGCCGAUCUAGCCCCUGGCGCCGCCGCUCCCCAGAGGCUGCCACCGGCCGGCGCCAAGCACCGCCACCCCCAGCCUCCUCCUCGCGGCUCCCAACCUCCUGCACCGCAUCCCCGCCGUCCUCCCCAUCGGACUGCGCCCGCCUCCCCGACGCCGCCACGCCGCCCCGUCGUCCCCGUCUCCUCCACGCCGGACCUCCUCCCCGGUGGCCUACACCGAGUCACGCCGACCCUCUCCCCGUCAACGCCCGUGAGGCCUCCCCUCAUUCCCCGUCUCUUCCUUUCCUCUCUUGCGUUGCGGCCACCGCGCCCCCGACCGGGUCCGGCCACGCCCGCGGUCACCACGCCCCUCCCCGCCGCCCUCGCGCUCAGGCCGCAGCCCCCGUCGUGCUGUUCGUCCCGCGGCCGCACCGCCCGCUUGCGCCGCCCUUUGCCGCUACCUCGGAUCGCCCUCUGUUGCUCCCUGCGCAGACCAUGCUCGCAUGCACCGCCUGUGCUCGCCGCCUCUGUCCCGCGCCGCUCGCAGGCGUGUGCCCCUACCUACCCGCUGCACUCGCUGCAGCGCUGCUGCUGAUGCUUCUGCGCUGCUGCCCUUGCUGCUAGCCGCCGCUGUUGCGCCGCCGCUGAUCUGCACCGACACGUCGUCCACUGCCUAGCCCCGCACCACCGUGCCCCACCUGCUAGCCGCCCUUGGUGCCGCCCCGCUCUGCCGUCCGGUGACCACGCGUCGUCGGUGCCCCGCACGUGCCCAACGGCGCCCUGCAACAGGCGCUAUGGCCUCACCCGGCGCCCGCACCCGUUUAACCCGAUAGGCCCCUGGGGCCUAUGACAGAUGGCCCCACGCUCAGAACGUUUUUAAGAAAAAAGAGAAAUAAAUAAUAAUAAUAAUAAAAAUAAUAAAAUAACAAUUAAUUAAUUAAUUAAUUAAUUAAUUAAUUAAUCUAGUUAAUUAAACCUAAUUAACCUGCUGAUAAAUCUAACUAUUGUCAAUUAGAUAACAACCUAUGAUAUGUGGGACCCACCCAUUAGUUGAGUGGUCAACGGUCAACUUUGACCGCUUGCAUCACGCUGAUGUCAUGAUGACGUCAUAAAUUCCUUUUGAUUUAAUUAAUUCUGUUAAUCCUAAAAAUGAUUAAAUCUUUUAAAAUUAAUAUAAAAUAAACCGUAGCUCGGAUGGAAAAACUUUAUACAUGAAAGUUGCUCAGAAUGACGAGACGAAUCCAGAUACGCAGCCCGUUCGUCCGCCACACAUCCCUAGCAUAGUGAACACGCAACUUUCCCCCUCCGGUUCAUCUGCCCGAAAACGCGAAACACCGGGAAUACUUUCCCGGAUGUUUCCCCCCUUCACCGGUAUCACCUCAUACUGCGUUAGGUCACCCCUAGCACCGCGCAUUGCCAUGUUAUGCUUUGUGUUGCUUUGUUUGCUCUGUUAUUUAUUGUGUUCCCCCUCCGUUACUUCUUUCCGGUAGACCCCGAGACCGCUGCCGGUACCCCCGAUCGACUACGGUGUUGACGACCCCUCCUUGCCAGGGCAACCAAGCAAGCCCCCCCUGAUCACCAGAUAUCGCCUAUUCUUCUCUCUACUGCUUGCAUUAGAGUAGUGUAGCAUGUUACUGCUUUCCGUUAUCCUAUCCUAAUGCAUAGCCUGUCCUUGCUACUACAGUUGUUACCUUUGAAGGAAAUAUGCCCUAGAGGCAAUAAUAAAGUUAUUAUUUAUUUCCUUAUUUCAUGAUAAAUGUUUAUUAUUCAUGCUAGAAUUGUAUUAUCCGGAAACAUAAUACUUGUGUGAAUUCAUAGACAAACUAAACGUCACUAGUAUGCCUUUACUUGACUAGCUCAUUAAUCAAAGAUGGUUAUGUUUCCUAACCAUAGACAUGUGUUGUCAUUUGAUUAAUGGGAUCACAUUAUUAGGAGAAUGAUGUGAUUGACAUGACCCAUUCCAUUAGCUUAGCACCUGGUCGUUUAAUAUGUUGCUACUGCUUUCUUCAUGACUUAUACAUGUUCCUAUGACUAUGAGAUUAUGCAGCUCCCGUUUGCCGGAGGAACACUUUGUGUGCUACCAAACGUCACAAUGUAACUGGGUGAUUAUAAAGGAGCUCUAUAGGUGUCUCCAAAGGUACAUGUUGGGUUGGCGUAUUUCAAGAUUAGGAUUUGUCACUCUGAUUGUCGGAGAGGUGUCUCUGGGCCCUCUCGGUAAUGCACAUCACAUAAGCCUUGCAAGCAUUACAACUAAUGAGUUAGUUGCAAGGUGAUGUAUUACGAAACGAAUAAAGAGACUUGCCGGUAACGAGAUUGAACUAGGUGUUGAGAUACCGACGAUCGAAUCUCGGGCAAGUAACAUACCGAUGACAAAGGGAACAACGUAUGUUGUUAUGCGGUCUGACCAAUAAAGAUCUUCGUAGAAUAUGUGGGAUCCAAUAUGAGCAUCCAGGUUCCGCUAUUGGUUAUUGACCGGAGACGUGUCUCGGUCAUGUCUACAUUGUUCUCGAACCCGUAGGGUCCGCACGCUUAAGGUUUUGAUGACAGUUAUAUUAUGAUUUUAUUCAUUUUGAUGUACCGAAGUUUGUUCGGAGUCCCGGAUGUGAUCACGGACAUGACGAGGAGUCUCGAAAUGGUCGAGACAUAAAGAUUGAUAUAUUGGAAGCCUAUAUUUGGAUAUCGGAAGUGUUCCGGGUGAAAUCGGGAUUUUACCGGAGUACUGGGAGGUUACCGGAACCCCCCGGGAGGUAUAUGGGCCUUAGUGGGCUUUAGUGGAAGAGAGGAGAGGUGGACAGGGCUGGGUCGUGCGCCCCUCCCCUCCUAGUCCGAAUAGGACAAGGAGAAGGGGGCGGCGCCCCCCUUCCUUCUCUCUCUCCUCUUUCCCCCUCCCGAAUCCUAUUCCAACUAGGAAAGGGGGGAAUCCUACUCCCGGUGGGAGUAGGACUCCUCCUAGCGCGCCCUCCUCCUGGCCGGCCGCACCUUCCCCUGCUCCUUUAUAUACGGGGGCAGGGGGCACCCCUAGACACACAAGUUGAUCCACGUGAUCAUAUUCUUAGCCGUGUGCGGUGCCCCCUUCCACCAUAAUCCUCGAUAAUAUUGUAGUGGUGCUUAGGCAAAGCCCUGCGAUGGUAGUACAUCAAGAUCGUCACCACGCCGUCGUGCUGACGGAACUCUUCCCCGACACUUUGCUGGAUCGGAGUCCGGGGAUCGUCAUCGAGCUGAACGUGUGCUAAAACUCGGAGGUGCCGUAGUUUCGGUGCUUGAUCAGUCGGGCCGUGAAGACGUACGACUACAUCAACCGCGUUGUGCUAACGCUUCCGCUGUCGGUCUACAAGGGUAUGUAGAUCACACUCUCCCCUCUCGUUGCUAUGCAUCACCAUGAUCUUGCGUGUGCGUAGGAAAUUUUUUGAAAUUACUACGUUCCCCAACAGUGGCAUCCGAGCCUAGGUUUUAUGUGUUGAUGUUAUAUGCAUGAGUAGAACACAAGUGAGUUGUGGGCGAUAUAAGUCAUACAGCUUACCAGCAUGUCAUACUUUGGUUCGGCGGUAUUGUUGGACGAAGCGGCCCGGACCGACAUUACGCGUACGCUUACGCGAGACCGGUUCUCCCGACGUGCUUUGCACAAAGGUGGCUAGCGGGUGACAGUUUCUCCAACUUUAGUUGAACCGAGUGUGGCUACGCCCGGUCCUUGCGAAGGUUAAAACAUCACCAACUUGACAAACUAUCGUUGUGGUUUUGAUGCGUAGGUAAGAUUGGUUCUUGCUUAAGCCCGUAGCAGCCACGUAAAACUUGCAACAACAAAGUAGAGGACGUCUAACUUGUUUUUGCAGGGCAUGUUGUGAUGUGAUAUGGUCAAGACAUGAUGCUAAAUUUUAUUGUAUGAGAUGAUCAUGUUUUGUAACCGAGUUAUCGGCAACUGGCAGGAGCCAUAUGGUUGUCGCUUUAUUGUAUGCAAUGCAAUCGCGCUGUAAUGCUUUACUUUAUCACUAAGCGGUAGCGAUAGUCGUGGAAGCAUAAGAUUGGCGAGUCGACAACGAUGCUACGAUGGAGAUCAAGGUGUCGUGCCGGUGAGGAUGGUGAUCACGACGGUGCUUCGAAGAUGGAGAUCACAAGCACAAGAUGAUGAUGGCCAUAUCAUAUCACUUAUAUUGAUUGCAUGUGAUGUUUAUCUUUUAUGCAUCUUAUCUUGCUUUGAUUGAUGGUAGCAUUAUAAGAUGAUCUCUCACUAAUUAUCAAGAAGUGUUCUCCCUGAGUAUGCACCGUUGCGAAAGUUCUUCGUGCUGAGACACCACAUGAUGAUCGGGUGUGAUAGGCUCUACGUUCAAAUACAAUGGGUGCAAAACAGUUGCACACGCGGAAUACUCAGGUUAUACUUGACGAGCCAAGCAUAUACAGAUAUGGCCUCGGAACACGGAGACCGAAAGGUCGAGCGUGAAUCAUAUAGUAGAUAUGAUCAACAUAGUGAUGUUCACCAAUGAAACUACUCCAUCUCACGUGAUGAUCGGACAUGGUUUAGUUGAUUUGGAUCACGUGAUCACUUAGAGGAUUAGAGGGAUGUCUAUCUAAGUGGGAGUUCUUAAGUAAUAUGAUUAAUUGAACUUAAAUUUAUCAUGAACUUAGUCCUGGUAGUAUUUUGUAAAUCAUGUUGUAGAUCAAUAGCUCGCGUUGUUGCUUCCCUGUGUUUAUUUUGAUAUGUUCCUAGAGAAUAUUGUAUUGAAAGAUGUUAGUAGCAAUGAUGCGGAUUGGAUCCAUGAUCUGAGGUUUAUCCUCAUUGCUGCACAGAAGAAUUAUGUCCUUGAUGCACCGCUAGGUGAAAGACCUAUUGCAGGAGCAGAUGCAACGUUAUGAAUGUUUGGCUAGCUCAAUAUGAUGACUACUUGAUAGUUUAGUGCACCAUGCUUAAUGGCUUAGAAUCGGGACUUCAAAGACGUUUUGAACGUCAUGGACCAUAUGAGAUGUUCCAGGAGUUGAAGUUAAUAUUUCAAGCAAAUACCCGAGUUGAGAGAUAUGAAGUCUCCAACAAGUUCUAUAGCUAAAAGAUGGAGGAGAAUCACUCAACUAGUGAGCAUGUGCUCAUAUUGUCUGGGUACUACAAUCGCUUGAAUCAAGUGGGAGUUAAUCUUCCAGAUAAGAUAGUGAUUGACAGAAUUCUCUAGUCACCAUCACCAAGUUAGUAGAACUUCACGAUGAACUAUAAUAUGCAAGGGAUAACGGAAACAACUCCCAAGCUCUUCGUGAUGCUAAAAUCAAUGAAGGUAGAAAUCAAGAAAAACAUCAAGUGUUGAUGGUUGACAAGACCACUAGUUUCAAGAAAAGGGCAAAGGGAAGAAGGGGAACUUCAAGAAUAAUAGAAAGCAACUUGCUGCUCAAGUGAAGAAGCCCAAGUCUGGUCCUAAGCCUAAGACUAAGUGCUUCUACUGCAAAGGGAUUGGUCACUGGAAGCGGAACUACCCCAAGUGAUUGGCGGAUAAGAAGGAUGGCAAAGUGAACAUAAGUAUAUUUGAUAUACAUGUUAUUGAUGUGUACUUUACUAGUGUUUAUAGCAACCCCUCAGUAUUAGAUACUAGUUCAGUUGCUAAGAUUAGUAACUCGAAACGGGAGUUGCAGAAUAAACAGAGACUAGUUAAGGAUGAAGUGACGAUGUGUGUUGGAAGUAGUUCCAAGAUUGAUAUGAUUAUCAUCGCACACUCCCUAUAAAUUCGGGAUUAGUGUUGAACCUAAAUAAGUGUUAUUUGGUGUUUGCGUUGAGCAUGAAUAUGAUUUGAUCAUGUUUAUUGUAAUACGGUUAUUCAUUUAAGUAAGAGAAUAAAUUGUUGUUCUGUUUACAUGAAUAGAACCUUAUAUGGUUACACACCCAAUGAAUAUAGUUCGUUGGAUCUCGAUCGUAGUGAUACACAUAAUCAUAAUAUUGAAACCAAAAGAUGCAAAGUUAAUAAUGAUAGUGCAACUUAUUUGUGGCACUGACGCUUAGGUCAUAUUGGUGUAAAGCGCAUGAAGAAACUCCAUGCUGAUGGGCUUUUGGAAUCACUUGAUUAUGAAUCAGUUGAUGCUUGCGAACCAUGCCUCAUGGGCAAGAUGACUAAGACUCUGUUCUUCAGAACAAUGGAGCGAGCAACAGAUUUGUUGGAAAUCAUACAUACUGAUGUAUGUGGUCCGAUGAAUAUUGAGGCUCGCGACAGGUAUCAUUAUUUUCUAAUCUUCACCGAUGAUUUGAGCAGAUAUGAGUAUAUCUACUUGAUGAAACAUAAGUCUGAAACAUUUGAAAAGUUUAAAGAAUUUCAGAGUGAAGUGGAAAAUCAUCGUAACAAGAAAAUAAAGUUUCUACGAUCUGAUCAUAGAGAAGAGUAUUUUAGUUACGAGUUUGGCCUUCAGUUAAAAACAAUGUGAAAUAGUUUCACUACUCACGCCACCUGGAACACCAGAGUAUAAUGGUGUGUCCGAACGUCAUAACCGUACUUUAUUAGAUAUGGUGCGAUCUAUGAUGUCUCUUACCGAUCUACCACUAUCGUUUUGGGGUUAUGCAUUAGAGACAGCUGCAUUCACGUUAAAUAGGGCACCAUCUAAAUCCGCUGAGAUGACACCGUAUGAACUGUGGUUUGACAAGAAACCAAAGUUGUUGUUUCUUAAAAUUUGGGGUUGUGAUGCUUAUGUGAAACAAGUUUCAUCCUGAUAAGCACAAAUCCAAAUCGGAGAAAUGUGUCUUCAUAGGAUACCCAAAGGAGACAGUUGGGUACACCUUCUAUCACAGAUCCAAAGGCAAGAUAUUCGUUGCUUAGAAUGGAUCCUUUCUAGAGAAGGAGUUUCUCUCGAAAGAAGUGAGUGGGAGGAAAGUAGAACUUGAUGAGGUAACUGUACCUGCUCCCUUAUUGGAAAGUAGUUCAUCACAGAAAUCUGUUCCUGUGACUACUAGACCGAUUAGUGAGGAAGCUAAUGAUGAUGAUCAUGUAACUUCAAAUCAAGUUACUACCGAACCUCGUAGGUAAAACCAGAGUGAGAUCCGCACCAGAGUGGUACGGUAAUCCAGUUCUGAAGGUCAUGUUACUUGACCAUGAUGAGCCUACGAACUAUGAGGAAGCGAUGAUGAACCCAGAUUCCGCGAAAUGGCUUGAGGCCAUGAAAUCUGAGAUGAGAUCCAUGUAUGAGAACAAAGUAUGGACUUUGAUUGACUUGCCCAAUGAUCGGCGAGCCAUUGAGAUUAAAUGGAUCUUCAAGAGGAAGACGGACGCUGAUAGUAGUGUUACUAUCUACAAAGCUAGAAUUGUCGCAAAAAGGUUUUCGACAAAUUCAAGGUGUUGACUACGAUGAGAGUUUCUCACUCGUAUCUAUGCUUAAGUCUGUCCGAAUCAUGUUAGCAAUUGCCGCAUUUUAUGAAAUCCGGCAAAUGGAUAAACAAAACUACAUUCCUUAAUGGAUUUAUUAAAGAAGAGUUGUAUAUGAUACAACCAGAAGGUUUUGUCAAUCCUAAAGGUGCUAACAAAAUGUGCAAGCUCCAGCGAUCCAUCUAUGGACUGGUGCAAGCAUCUCGGAGUUGGAAUAUGCGCUUUGAUGAGAUGAUCAAAGCAUAUAGUUUUAUACAGACUUGCGGUGAAGCCUGUAAUUACAAGAAAGUGAGUGGGAGCACUACAACAUUUCUGAUAAGUAUAUGUGAAUGACAUAUUGUUGAUCGGAAAUAAUGUAGAAUUAUUCUGCAAAGCGUAAAGGAGUGUUUUGAAAGAAGUUUUUCAAAGAAAGACCUCAGUGAAGCUGCUUACAUAUUAAGCAUCAAGAUCUAUAGAGAUAGAUCAAGACGCCUGAUAAGUUUUUUUUUU
Molecule: long non-coding RNA, 57188 nt
Filed under: Triticum aestivum (bread wheat)
Lineage: Eukaryota; Viridiplantae; Streptophyta; Magnoliopsida; Poales; Poaceae
Description: long non-coding RNA (TAES_LNC013948)
Source: RNAcentral